This 59822-nucleotide long non-coding RNA is filed under the name Hordeum vulgare. Its description in RNAcentral is "long non-coding RNA (HVUL_LNC011207)". Lineage: Eukaryota; Viridiplantae; Streptophyta; Magnoliopsida; Poales; Poaceae. The record is from RNAcentral.
GCACCCCAGCCCUUCAUGGCCUGGCGCGCCAUCUUGGCACAGUGAUGCCAAAUGUCCACCGCACAAUAGACACGCGGCGGGGAGGCGGCAGCCCAAUGCCACUGGUCGCGGACCAACUCGCGGAAACCAGGCUGAUCCAACCAAAAAGUCUCAAAGCGAAAGCGCCGUGAUCUAGGGGGGAGCCUUCCCCCGACGAGAAGAGCAGGGGCGUAUGGUCUGAGCCAAUCUGCGUGAUGGCCCUAAGCCCGCACAGGAGGAACAUCACUUCCCACUGAGGCGACACAAAGACCCGGUCUAGAACACUCCGGACGGGGUCCGCCUGCUUGUUCCACCACGUGAACCUGGCCCCUACGCGAGCUAUCUCACGUAGCGCCAAGUCUGCAAUGCAGUCAUUAAAAAGACGCAUCUGGGGUCGAUCUACAUUCUGAGAGCUUUUAUCAGAAGCCCACCUAAUAAAUUAAAAAUCACCAGCCACCACUACAGGGGUGGUGCACCUAUCCACCUUAUUCUUUAGCUCGGCGAGGAAUUCUGCGGAGCGGGCAUGGUCUGCCGGACCAUAGACAAUAAUCACCUCCCAGCUGAGGUGGGUACGUCGGUCGGUGAUGGCCAUGCUCACAAUGAACUCCCCCCGGUCCAUGUCCUCCACCGAGAACGCCUCCUCCCGAACACCAAGCAGGAUUCCCCCAGAGUGGCCCGAUGCAGGGAGCCACUGCCAGGAGAACUGGUGGCGGGAGAGCCUCUGAAGCUCGAGCAUGCUAAAGUCCUACCGAAUCGUUUCUUGCAGCCCUACUAUGUCAAUCUCUUCUUGACGCAAAUACUCAACAAGUUGCCGCCGCCGGCCAGGGAGGCCGAAGCCCCUAAUGUUCCAACAUAGGAGCUUCAUUUAACAAUCUCGCCUGGAUUUCUAGGCCCCGCAAGCGGGGCCGAACUAGCCCGCCCGUCAACCUCGAGGCGGGGGAGCGCCUUAGAUGGACGACCCCGGUGUCCCCGAGAAGAGGGGACAUCGGAGGUCGCCGGGCCAGAGGAGGGAGCUCCGGGGCCUGACACUCGCUCCUCUCCACGUGUCUCAGUGGGGUUGAGACGGGUAGGCGGCCGCCCCCUGGGCUUCCGGACAGAGGGAAGCCCACCUAUGGGCGGCACAGGACCAACUGCAACCGCUGCCGGAGGUGCGCCACCAGCCCUGGUCUCUCUAUGACCAGGACCGGCGUGCACCGGGGGAGAGGGGGAGUUGGAGCGCGCGGCGAGACAGCGCGCUUCCGCUAACACCCCCUCAAGCCUCUCUUUCGCACAGAGGGCGGAGAUAUGCUCAAGAGGGGGACCUUUCUCCCCCCGAAACACAAUACUACUGUUCGCAGCCACAACAGCCAAAAGGGGCACCAAAUCGCUAGAGAGAACAGAAAACCAAGAACCAGAGCCAGAAGGGGGAGGAGAGGAGGCGUACCUGGGAACAGAUCGCGGGCCGCAGCACGCCGGGCCGCCAGCUCAGGCAUCGUCGGGACGCGGCCGUCCUGAAGGGUCCGGGACUGGCUGAUCCGAGCGCUCUGACGUGCCGACACGAUGGGGGAAGUGCCCUCCCGAGGCCGAGAGCGGGGCACAGGAGGGUACUCGGGCGCCCAACCAGGGUUGACGACCACCGGAGGGCGCGAAUCCGGGGACCCCAAGGUUGGGGAAGGGGGGAACUCGGAGAGCACGAGUAGCAAACCACCCCUGGCGAGCGCGGGGACGAAGCAGGGCAGACCUCCAUACCCACACUCACCUCCUCCUCAGCAGCGACCACCGGGAUAGGGGAAGCAGGGAGAGUGAUCUCCAUGCCUACCACCACCACCGGCGCCAAAGUACCCACCGUGGAGCCUCCUGCGAGCCCCGACUGGCCAACACCCGAGGGGGCGGGGGUGCGCCGACCGCCAGAUGGCUCGGGCGGAGCCCCGACCGUAUCAUCGUCCCCCUCAGAAGAAGGCCCCUCCUCCGACGAGCCCCCCUCCUUGUCAAGACCCCCGUCGGCAGGCUCCAGCCCAGGCGGGACCGGAUCUAGCUGAGCCGCUGAAGCCGGGGACUCGAGCUCGAAGGUCAGACGCCUGCCCUUGGACCCAAAGUAGAAGACCAAAGACAACCCGUCAAUCUCAGCAGGAGCCGGGCAGAGAAUCUCAAUGCGGGCAGGGCCAUCAUCCUCGAAAGAUGCCAGGUCGGCGGUGAUCAGUUUGCCCAUGGGUUUAGAGAUGGCUUUCAGAAUAUGACUGAGCUUGCCACCCCGCGGAGCCGCACUGCCCCCCCUUGGGAGGCCAUAGACGAGGACCCAAACCUUCUCCAAGGGAGGGACGGGGUCAGGCUCUGACAUGGCCGCCUGGACGCUGAUCGGGAGCUGGUUGAGGGGACACCGGAUAGGACCAUGCGAGCAGACCCGGAGUAGCUCGGCCGAGGGGAAGGGGACCGAGAAGACCAGGGGAGCCGUCUCAGUCACCUCCCAUGCGAACUCAGAGCCGCGAAAGUCGCCAAUGUAGGCCGCAAGCUCAUCCUGGAUGAGGUCAGACGAGAUCACCAGGCCAUCCGGGAUAGGCUGCUCGGGCUCCAAGGUGACCGUCGCUAGGUGAGGACGAGCAGCUACCUCCUCAAUCUCCGCAUCCACGAAGUAGAAGCUUCCCCGCUCAGUGCCAUACCCAAGAUAGGCAAGAAUCGUGGGGCACCGUGGGGGAGCCUCACACUCCGAGCGGUAGUGCCCGGUGCACCCGCAGUUGAUGCACAUCGUGUCCUCGCGGGAGCGCUGGCGGGUAGCACGAGCAGGGGGUCUAGAGCCUCAUGCUCAGGAGCCCCCUGAGCUCCUGGCGACGUCAGGCCGCCAGCACCGCCAACAGCCUUCUUCUUCUUCGACUUCAUCUUCUUCUUAACCGGGGUCGGGCGGGAAGCGGAGCAGCAGGCAGGGCAUCUGGGGACACGUGCCUAGAAGGCCCGUCGUCCCGGCACCAGUCCGCACCCGUCGCCCGAGAGGAGCGCCAGUCAGCCCGACGUCCAUCAUCACCGCGCCGCAUUGGCGGCCCGCCCCACCGCUCCCCCGGGCGGUGGUCCUGGCGAUCACGGGGCGGCCCGCCCCACCGCUCCCCAGGAAGGCGCCGCGGGGCGGUGAGCGAGGUCCCGAGCCGGGGGGUAGCGGGGCGCUGGCUCCUCACACGGCUGAGAUGCCGGAGUGGGGCGAGCAACCAACUCUGCACACAGAGUCGCUUCCCGGUCCAGGUCGGCCGCGCGGGCGGCCUCCAGGCGGCGACGGUCCCCCGGCGAACCCGGCAACGGCAGGCGGGGAUCCCUCUCCGGAUCACGAGGGGGAGGCGGACGGCGAAGGGAGGUCCCGGAGUAGUACUCCGGGGACUUCCCCGGCCGGGCAGACCCACCGCGCCCGGAACGGGACGAGGCAGCACCCCCUUCCAUGGCACGGUCACGGGCGGCGGGCAGCGCCUUCAACACCGCGCGAGCCUGGUCACGAGAGGUUGGCGUAGGGAGGAGCCCCUGCCCAGCCGGGAGAGGCCGCUUCGGUCGGGCCUGGCCGUUCCCGGCGUGGCGUGUCAUGAGCACGUCCCGGUAGGAGCGCCGUGGGGAGGGGAUGGGGAGCAGGUCCGGGCGCCGGGCAGCAGACGAGGGCGCGUCGCCGGCAGUGCAGGCGAGGACGGACGAGGUGGAGGGAGCUCUAUGGCUGACGGGACGGGGCGAGCGGGGCCUGGGGAACGGCCGGCGGGACGGGGCGAGCAGGGCCUGGGGAACGGCGGGGACGUCCGCGCCCGACGGGAGAGAGCGAGAGGAAAGGGAGCGGGAGCCCGACCGGAGAGAGCGAGAGAAACGGGAGCGGGACGGGGCGAGGCUGCGAGGUGGCGGUGGCGCACGCUCGGCAGGGUAAACCCUAUCCCCGAGCCGGUCCUCCCGACGCAGGCCUGGGCCGGGACGCGAGCAUGGGGGAGGCCCAGGUGGGCAUCGGCCCACUGCCGGUUAACCUUCUCCAGGACUCGGGAGACGCGGCGGGAGGCCCAGGCCAUCUCGCUAGCUGAGAUGGGCCCAGGCCCCGUUCGCAGCGGCCCAUGGGGAGAGCCGGCCCAUCCGUCCGCCAGCCGGCCAGGGGAGUUAGGGCAUGGGGGAGGGGACUGACGAGGCACUCGGGCACCUCCCGCUGCCGCCGGCACCGCCGCCGCCGCCACAGGAGGCAGGGCACCAGCGCCUGGUCGGGGCUCGCGGGGGCCCUCUCCGGCGACCGCCAUGGGGGACAACCCAGGCAGCAAACCGGCUCGGGCCAAGGAGGGGAGAGGGGGAACCACAGGGGGACAGUGCACCGGCGACCGCCGCCCGACCUCCUUCCCCGGCCGCCGGCGGGCAGGGCGCGCCGCAGCCAGGAACGAGCCGAGCAGCGGCGGUGCCAGGGACACCGGCAGCUCCAACCGGUCAUCACCAUCCGAAGAGGCCUCCAUGUCAUCGGGGUCGGGAUCGUCCGUCCAGUCCGCCCAACGUCGCGGCGACCGUUGGAAGCAGAGGGAGGGCGCCCCCGGCGGGGGAAGCGGGGGCAUCGCGCUCACGCAGCACGCCGGCCGACCGCCGUCAGCGGGCACCGCGCAGCUUCAGGUCUCGGCCCGCCGGAGAGGAGCCGCCCAUCGCUUCUUCUCUUCAGGAAUCUAGUCGCCGGCCCACAAGUGGGGUGAUGAACAAGCUAAUGCGAUUUAAAGUAAUCAUACCUCGUCCUAAGAAAUUAAAAGUGAAUUCAUACUGUGCAGCUAGAAAAAGAAUCAUAAAAGUAUACAAGCGCAUGUGAAAAGAAAAAGAUGAACAACUUGCCACUUCAUAUAGGUGAUCUAAUUAACUAAUUUAGGGUUCGAAUAACUUUGUUUCCCCACAAUCAUGACAAAGUGAACCUUUUGUUGAAAGCCGGAAUUCUGCAAUAAAGCUGCAAUGGUAGAUCUAUUUUUAUCAGGGAAUCUACCAUGCUGAGCUGCUGCACACAAGGCGUUCUCACUCACGAGUCGCAAAAAAGAGUUGGUGAGUUAUUAAAAAAGAAGACAAAGAGGACGAGUGAGUUGCACCAAAAUUAAAUACUUCCUUCAUUUCAAAAUAAAUGUCUCAAUUUUAUACUACCUCUAGUAUAAGAGCAUGGUUAAUAGUAUAGUCAACUGCUGGCUAUAAGCUAUCUUAUAGCCUAUCUUAUAGCUAGCUUGUACAAUAGUUAGCUAUAAAAGAGUACUACUUUUAUUCUAUAUGGCCCACCUUUCAUUUUCACAAAGCACCUACGAGCACGUGCUAGAGCUGGCUCUUUACGAAGAGCCCGCUUCCCUUCUCACUCCUAUUCUCUCUCAUCCAACUCAGCAAAAAUACAGUAUUUUAAUCCUUACAGCCUGCUGACUGUACCUUAUUGUACUUGCUCUAAAGUUGUACUCCCUCCGUUCCAAAAUAUAAGACCUUUUAGAGAUUUAUUAGAAGACUACAUACGAAGCAAAAUGAGUGAAUCUAUACUCUAAAAUAUGUCUAUGUACAUCCGUAUGUAGUUCAUAGUGCAAUCUUUAAAAUGUCUUAUAUUUAGGAACGGAGGGAGUAUUAAGUUUGAGGCGGUUAUAUUGAGACGGAGAGAGUACUAGAUAUACGUAAUCUGAAAUAGUGGAGUACCAAAAUUAUAGGCCUCUAUGAUUAGGAGGAUUUUCAUAAAACAUUUGGAAAGUUGUGAUACUUGAGAAUUUUUCCUUUAUCGCUUAUCUGAUUCGUAGAUUGACUCCUAUAGGAUUUUCUCCUAUGGAUUCCCUUUGACUGCACAUUUCAUGAAAAAAAACAUUAGUUUGCCAUGAUAAUUUUUCACCAGGAUGCACAAAAAAUGAACUAGUUCUGAAAGGUUUAUUGGCUUCAUUUGGAUUUACUUAGAAUCAGCUCAUAUUAGCAAUAAUUAAAGAUGGCCGAACGAUGGCGCCGUCUCCCUCCCGACCCGGGGCCGCAUGCAGCCCCUCUCCCUCUGCCCCCCUCCUCCUGUCGGUGCCCUCGGAUCUGGUCCGGGUGGUGUUGGCGGUGGCGGGAUCUCCAUUACCUGUGCGCGGACGUCCUUCCCGAGGCAGGGGAUCGACGGUGGUGCGGCUCGGCCUGCUGUGGUCCGACGACCUAGAGGUGGUGGCCGGCAGCCGACGUGGUGGUGGCGCUGCUCCUUGGCGGCGGGGUGGCCUAGCGGCACGGGGUGGCCGGCUGCACGACCCCGGGCCAGAUCAGGGCCCAUAAGGCCUCAUCUAGGUCCUAGGGGACUGGCUCUGGCAUGGACUUGCUGCCUCCUGUACAGGGAUGAGGAGGGGCGGGUUGAAAGGGGGGCCGCGAUGCCGACGGUGUGCUUUCUGCAGCGCGAUGGCAGGAGCUUUAUGGGUAUUUGUGGGGCCAUGAGCCUGGUUUGCUCCUGCCGAUGUGUCCGGUCGGUUACUGUCGUUGACGAUGGAAGUCGGACCCUCCCGCAGGCCGCCGGUGUUGCUUCCCCUAGUCCCGACUCUUCUUCUUCGAUGUGCAGGCCUCACUUCUCGGUGUCCUGGUGAGACAGUGUGGGUCGCUUCAAGAUUGUGCUUGCGCAGGGCGGUGGGUGGUAUGGUGGAGUCCUCCGGAACGCCCGUGGUGAUGCGUGGGGAUCGGGACGUACAAAUCCUUGUCGGCCUGUUCGACACCGACACGGUGACGCCUGAGGGUGUCGACGGACCUUCCUGGAGGGUGUCGGGUGCUACCCUUUCUUUGUCCUCGUUGUGUAUCGGGGGAAACCCUUGGCAGCAGCGCAGUCAUCGUCGUGUCCCUUCUUGGAGGUGUUGAUUGGUAUCGGCGCUUCGAAGGCUAGGAUCUUGGUGGAAGAUCUUCGAUGGGCGCAACGAUCGCGGGGCCUCUUCAUUUUUGUCGAUCCAUCAUUGUUGGCAUCUAUUCCUUUUGCAUUUUCUUUUUCCCUUCCUUUUGGACGUGAUUGUGAUGUCUCCGUCCCAGCACUUAUUGAUGGAUAUAUCGGGCAUUUGCUAUAUUAAUAUAGCGAGGCGAACGCGUGCUUCGAAGAAAGAUGGACGAACUUACCAACCAUAUUACUUGUGCUUAUUUAUUUUCUUCUGUUACAACGCACAAACAUAUUUGCUAUUUGAACUAAAUCACAUUGCCAAUUGCUCGUCUAUCAUGUCAAAUCAGAACCACGCAUCUAACCCUCCCAAGAUGUAGAUCGAUCGGUUUUACUCGGCAUUCAUUAUGGAUCGGAGGGAGUACUCCUAGAUCAUAUUCAAAAUUGCUCCACGCCACAAAUAAAACUGCACGGUACAUAUGGUAAAUCUGGGAAAGUGAUUUGCGUGGUAUGUGUGCCAUAAUCAACUGAAUUAUUGGACUAACCGCAUCAAGAUCGGAUCACAUCGAUCCUAUCCCCGUCGACGAGACUGUCCUCGAAUCAAAAUAUUUCUCCAAUGGACGCUCGUGUCCCACGCUCUGAAAGCGACGCCUUUUGUUUUGUCAGUUAAUUUUCACGUCAAGCUCACACCCACGCACGCACCGUGUAGGAUCCACGGCUCGACGCACCUCCCCUUCCCUCCCCUUCUCCCUAUUUAACGAGCUAGCCACCCCCACGCUUUUUGCACCUCAGCAAGCACCAACACACACACACACACAAGAAAUGGCGAUGGCUAGGACGACGACGCUCCUCCUCGUCGCCGCAGCUCUCCUCGCGGCCUCAUGCAGCGCAUGGGAGGUCAACAUCCGCAUGCCGACGUCGGCGGCGGACGUGGACGAGGCGGUGGUGGCGCCGCUGAUCCACGCGCUGCGGCCGCUGCUGGGCUCCGGCAAGCACGCCGGAGUGGCGUGCGACAGCUGGGUGCUGGGGGUGGAGGCGCACAACGUGCGGGACUGGAAGACGGUGCCCGCGAGCUGCGAGGGCUACGUCGGGCACUACAUGCUCGGCAGCCAUUUCCGCCGCGACUCCAAGGUCGUCAUCGACCAGGCCCUCGCCUACGUCGACUCCCUCAAGCUCGCCGGCAACGGCAAGGAGGUCUGGGUCUUCGACAUCGACGAGACCACCCUCUCCAACCUCCCCUACUACGCCAAGCACGGCUUCGGGUACGUACUUACACUCUUGUAUACAUUACAUAGACACUACUGAUUCUACGUGUAGUGCAUGCAUUAGACUUGCUAUUUACUGCAGGUACAUCCGACCGAGCAGGGACUUGCACUCAUCUUUUCACUAAGAUGAAGUGUAAAUAAUCUGACUAGAUAUAUAUUGUAAAAAAUCAACUCACUAGCUAGCUAAAAAAUACCAGCGAGAUCUGUAAUGAAUGAAAAUUGGAAAGCACAUAAGGAUAGAAAUAUUGGAAAUAAAAAGGAAUAUAAUCACUAAGUAGAAAAGUACUUUAAUCACAAGUGUUGGACACUUGGACAUCAUCAUUGCCAGUAGGACUCGGGCCAUAUGUCCCUAGUAUGAAUGGCCAACAAAACAAGAAGGAAACAUACUAUAUUUUGAGAUAGAGAUGUGAUGUUGAUGGGCAUGCGAAUGUGGUGGCCGGGUAGGACCGUAUAUGUUGUCCACUUGGCUACUUUAUGGAAAUGUUCUAAUUAUGUUAUGCUAGUCAACUCAUACUUUCUAAUUAUGUCAUACUUUUGUACACAUACACACUAUUGUAGUGCAUUAUACUCCCUCUCUAUCUAAAUACUUAGAGUUCGAAAGAACUAGGUGCAUUUCAGCAGGGGCUUGCACUGAUCUAUUCGUUCAGAUAAAAUAAAUAUCUUACUAGACCUCGUUCAAAUGAACUCACUAGCUAGAAAGCACUAGUAUCAUAAGAUUUCUAAUGAAUGAAAGUGGGAAAACAAAUGAGACUAGAAGUGGAAACAAGGAAUAUACUCACUAGCUAGAAAAGUAUUAAUUGGACGUGUUGGACACACUUAGGCAGCAUCAUUGCUGGUUACCUCAAAUCAGUCACAGAGACGGCCAUCAGGACCAUAAAUAUGUCCCGCCUAUGAAUGGUCAACAAAACAAGAAGGAAACAUAGUACUAUAGUUUGAGAAUAUGGUGGCCGGGGUAGGACCGUAUAUGUUCUCCACUUGGCUACUUUAUGGAAACGUUUAUUUCCAGCUGUCCUUAUCAGCCGAUACGUUCUAAUUAUGUUAUGCUAAUCGAUUGAUAUUUUCUGAUUAUGUUAUGCUAAACUUAGUUCAGAUGGAUAGUACUCCGAUACGUUUUCAUUAUUUUAUGCUAAUCUGAGUUUAGAUGGAUAUAAUUACUUAUUUUAGAAGAUGUGAGAGGUCAGAACAUCUUGUGCAUAGUUAGUAGUUACAUGCUACUCCCUCCGUUCCUAAAUACAAAUCUUUUAAAAGAUUUCACUAGUGGUCUACAUAUGAAGCAAAAUGAAUGAAUUUAUACUAUAAAAUAUGUUUAUAUACAUUCAUAUGUAUUACUCUAACCUCUAAAAAGAUUUAUAUUUAAGAAUGGAUGGAGUACAACUCUAUUCCUCUUUUCUCAAAUAGUUGAACACUAUUCCUCUUAGUUAAGAAGAUUCUCUUGAACCAAGAUGGAAACUAACUUGAAAUGUAGUAGAAGUCUAGGUGAUAUCUAGCCAACAUGAUGAUACCAGUUUAGUUCAAAACAUGAUUAACUAGCUCCGGAUAGCUUGCUUGUGUAUAUUUUGAAUGUGAUGAGGGAGCUAGUUCGUUGUGAUUUAAAAUAAACUGUACCUUGCCGUAAGAACUUUAAAGUGGAUCUACACUGGGCGGCUGGAAAAAGAUACAUAAAAGUAUAUAUAUGCGCAUCAAGGAAAAAAGAAAGAUCAAAAGCUUAUAACAGCAUGUCUAACUAAUCGAGCGGUUCAAAUAACUUUGUUUCAUCACAAUCAUGACAAAAUUAACCUUUUUUGUUGAAAGUCGGAACUCUGCAAUAAGGUUGCAAUGGUAGACCUAUUUUACCAAAGGAAUCAACAAAGCUGAGCUGCUGCGUACAAAGCUGUGCACGAUGAGAUUAAAUACUACAACUGCGUUUUCGGUCCAACAAAACAGUAGCGUGAUGAUGCCGGAGUGAACCUCGCUAUGUCACAUUCAUUGAUUUACUCCACUUGACCAACUUAAUUUACGACGUCCACAACUACGUACUGCUCAUGCACGUGCGUUACGUACAGAUACAGAGCAUCAUUGCGUUUACGUAUUGCCCAUCCCCUUGGCCAUUUGGCCACUUGGGCCAUAAUCUAGGUUGCCUAUGUUCCUUGGAUAUGCAUAAUUACUACUACUUCUUAGUAGCUGAUAUGAUUGAAUCUGCCAUUAAUCUAUCCUCGUAUACAUGUGCGUGCAGGGCUACACCGUUCAACGCGACCAGCUUCAACGCAUACGUGCUACAGGGGAGCGCGCCAGCCCUGCCGGAGACGAAGCGGCUGUACAACAAGCUGCGCUCGAUCGGCGUCAAGCCGGUGUUCCUCACCGGCCGGACUGAGGACCAGAGGGCCAUCACCGUCACCAACCUCCGCCGCCAGGGGAUCUCUGGGUGGAUGAACCUCUUGCUGAAGCAACCCGGGUUCAAGGGCUCUGCGGUGACCUACAAGUCCGGCGAGAGGCAGAAGCUGCAGGACGCCGGGUAUGUCAUCGUCGGUAACAUCGGCGACCAGUGGAGCGACAUCCUCGGCGCGCCAGAGGGUGCCCGCACCUUCAAGCUGCCCGACCCCAUGUACUACAUCGGCUAGGCCGCCUCUGGCUCGGCCGGGCAUGCUGCCAUUGAUUUCUCGAAUAAGCUCCAUGCUCUUAGUUAUAUGCAUGUUUCGUCAGAUAAUCAAUCCCCAAUUGUUGCUUGGUUCAUUUCCAUUGUUGAGAGCUUGAGAUCAAUUGCUACUAUGAAUUAGACGUGUAAGUGGAGAUGUUGCAUGCUGCUUAAUCAAUGGAUCUUUGUUAUGUUGUUUUUCUUUUUGCUCUAUUACAAGGAAUCCAUGGGCAUUAUUACUAUUUGAUAUCUUGUUCUUAAGUCUUAACUUGGAACUUAUAUUGCUGGUGGUAGAUUUUUCUGUACUAAAUUCUGCAUAUGGUGUAUUAAAUAUCAGGGACACAUAAUAUUGUCACACAUAUGGAAUCACUACUGCUAAAAUGACCAGUUCCUGAACCCAUCUGCUAUUGGGCCCAUUUUGGCCCGUCGGAGGAAGGGAUCAUCGUCGGUGGACAGGCAAAGAAGUGCUCGCAUAGACUCCUUCAAAAAAUGUGCCCUCAUAGACGACGGGUAUUUUCCACUGAUGUUGCGCAACUGGUGAUUGCAAUGUAGUUUGUGUCUUGCAUGUUGUAUGCAUAUGUAAUGAAUGUAACAUCUAAUAGUUAAUUAUGCAAGACAAAUAAAGCCCACCCUUUUCAGUAAGUUUAGAGCUAGAUUUGAGUUUGUCUUGGUCUCAUUUUUCUAAACAUACAAUCCUGGAGACAACUCGGUGAAGAAAUGAUGGUCCAAAUAGGUGUCUAACACGAAUCGUCAUCAAAGAAACCCUAUGGGAACCCACACUAUUCUAGUUACUUGGAUGAUUUGUAAUGAAAGAAAUAUAUGUGUCUUCCAAGUUAUUUUGACCAUGCCAAACAACAUCCCUGCUAAGAUAAAAAACGAUGUGGAGACUUGGAUAAAGGCCGGGCGAAGGAUCUGGGAAACAUUAUGCCAGGAGAGUAGUUCCGUUCUAUUAAUUUAUCCUUGGAUGACGUUUCGCGGAGAGAGGGGAGAGGGCGACCUGGGCGAUCUGGGAGCGUCGGGGGCCGCCGUGGGCAUCGUCGGAGAGGGGGAACAUCGGUACUCCUCCUCCGAUCUCGCAUCCCAGGCGCGGCGCCGGAGCCCGAUCUCGGCGGUGGAGGGACCUACUGUCCGUGUCCGAUGGAGAGUUGCGUACUCAGAGGCUGGUUAUUCGGAUCUGCGUGAGGGGCAGAUUGUUUUUCAUUCGGUUUCUCGUUGGAUGACACUACGGGAUGACGACGACGACAUCCUCGCCGGCUGCCAUCUCCAAGAGGAAGAUCUCAUCUGCGAAGGUGCGCAUUUCAUGGUGGAUAUCUUUUCUGUUACUUGUAUUUCUCCUUUCCUGCAGGUGAAUUCACAAGAACGGAUGCAGCCUGAUUUGGUGGACAUAUCUGACGAUGAUAAGAUCGCCUCACCAAGACUUCUCCCUCGAGUUGGGGGGAGGUUUUGGGUACUGGCUAAAGAUGAAGACGACGAGAACCACGACAUUGCCGUAGCACAGGAGGUCUCUGCUCCUUUCUGCGACCAGGUUUUCCAUCCGGCCACGAGGGAUUUUAUUCAUGCAUUGCCUGAUUCGAAGGUCGUUAAGGUAGUUCAACGCAAGGAGCGAUUGGCGAUUAAACCUUGGAGCGGUCCUCUGCCUAAGGUUCAUCUCGAACCAUUGCGGAUCUCGGACAUCAUACCUUGAGAGGCUUGGACUACUGUUUUGCCUAAGAGGAAGAACAAGGGUAAGAGCCGUAAAUUGCAGACGUCAGUCCCUGACAAGGUGCUGUCGUCCCGUGAUUCUCGCGAAUUACGUUUGAACGAGCCGAUGGCUGUUGUCGGGCCGUUGGGACCGGCGCUCGAGUUGGGCUUAAAAGAAACUGGGUAUAUGGCCCAGAUAGACUCCAAUCUAGCAAAACCUGCAAGUCCUACACCUACGGCUGCCCAGAUUUGCCUUGACGAGAAUCAUCAGGACUUGGUUUCUACGUCAAGUUUGCAUAUACCGAGUUCGGCUCUGCCUAGGGUUCCACGACGGCGUUUGCCUGGCUUCCCUUCGCUCGGGCCGGGUCGUGCAGUACGGGUUCCAGCGCUGCGGUGCAUGGCGGGGCGGGGAAACAAGCAGGCGCUGCCUCCCCCUCGACCACCGGCGGUUUCCCAGGCUGUGGGGCGGACUAGGCAGCAGCCCGUGAUGCCGCCAGGGCGCCAGACGGGCCAGGCUUCGGCUGCACCGGUUCCCGCUGCUGGUCAGGGUUUGCCCAACGCGGCUCGGGCGGAUACUAACAGGAUGCAGCCGAGAGGUCGAUGGGGGGAUGAUGGUGUUAAUGCAUAUGGUGAUGGACAGCACCGUGGAUCCUCUUCGUCUGGAGGAGGACGUGGCUAUGCCUGGCAGAGCAAUGGCAGCGCUGCUAAUGGGUUCGCCGGUCCUCCGGGACAGUUUGUGCCCCGGGUCUCGGGUCCUACUCACCCUAGGGAGGUGGAUAUAAGCAACAUUGGGGAGGGAGAGGUGGUGGCAGGAGAUUGAAGCCGCCCACGCCUCCAGUAGAGGUAGAUGCUGCCAAGACAACGGCGGGAGUACCUUCCAAUGCUCCUAAGGGGAAUACACUGCUGCCACCUGUUUCCGAGGAGGAUCCUUCCUUGGCUGACAAGGGAGUAUCGCUUGCGAAGGCAGAGGGGGGGGGAUAGGCCCUCCAAGUGGGCACGCAAAAAAGAAAAGAUGACAUGCUACCGUUGCAGUGAGACGGGUCAUUUUGUUUCCGAAUGCAGCGCGGAUCUGUGUGACUUUUGCUUAAAGCCUAAGCAUGGCUCAGCUAAGUGCCCCCUUACUGUUGGUCCUAUACAUGUCGUCACUUUAUAUGGGGUUUGCUGCCAAGAGUUGAUGUUCUUUGAAUCUCCCUCUGCUUCAACGUCGUUGCAUGUGCCAGACGCGGCCUAUACGGGGACGGUUACGGUGGCUCGUGGUAAUAUGUCAGCUGAGCAGGUGGUGCAACAGUUGAGGGAUCUUGUUUCAUCAAUGUUUCGGUGGGAACUGGUCCUUAUAGCAGAUAAUGUGUUCAAGGUUGUGUUCCCUACCAAGGAGGACCUAGCUAGACUGCUCAAGUUUGGUAUGUGUCGGGUUCCUAGUACUAGUUGUGUGCUAGAGUUCGAUGCUUGGAAGAAUGAGGAGCCAUAAGGUGUGCCACUUCCUCAGAUUUGGGUUCGUUUUUCAGGGGCCCCGUCAAAGGCUCUAAAUGACUUUCUGGUGACUUGGAGUUUGGGAUCUUUGAUAGGUAAGACUGAGAGGGUGGAUAUGCAAUAUACUCGGGCUAAAGGUGUUGCCAGGAUGAGGGUUAGUGUAAUUGAUAUUGCGCUAGUACCGGAUGAAGUUAUAUGGACUUAUGAUGGAAUGCGGUACACCUUGCAACUCGAGAUCGAGAGUCCGGAUAUGUUCGAGGAGGAUGGGACAGACAAAGAUACCGAUAUGGCUGACGGAGAUGAUGCUUCGGGUUCUAGGGAAUCUGAUAAGAAGGAUCAACAGCCAGUUAUUACAAAGAUGGUGGAUCAACCUACCUCAGGUUCUGCUACAGGGGCUGCUCAACCAGUGUCUCUUCCCUCGACGCAGCUUAGGUUCGGUUCCUUUGAACCAGCCUCGGCGCCAGAGAUUCGAGGGAGGGCUUCAGAGAAGUAUGAGCGGGAUCUGGUUCAUCUUAAGCCGCAAGGAAAGCAAGCAAAGUCAGGGUCAUUCAGUAUUAAAAAUCCUAAGGAAGCUUUGACCGUAGUUUCUCUUGGGGAAUAUUUUGUUGUCGCUAGGAAUGCUGAUACGGGCCGGUCUCAGCAACGUGAUGCAGUGCAGCCAGCAAGGCAUAUGUUGUCCGGGUUGGGUACUGUGCCGAGGGGUGCGCCGCCUGGGUCGCCUAGGCAGGGUUCGCUGCUGCUGUAGAGUCCAUCGCCAGCCACCCAGGGGGUUGCUGUUUCUCGGCCAGCCACCCCUGGGGCUGCUACCUUUUUGCCAGCCACACCGAGGGCAAUUACAGCGACUCCUCCUCCUGGCCUACUUCCGUCGUUGGAUGCUGCUGCGAGAUCCACCCCUGCUGCUGGUUUCAUGUCAGCCGAGAGAUCAACCCCUGUUGCUGCGGUUCCUAUCGCUACUAUGGCUGCAACCGGGGCAUCAUCUUUGCGGGUGUCAGGGCUGGAGGGUACUGGUCAGGGGCACCAUGGCGAGGUCGUUGCACCGCCGUCUGUUGAGCAGGUCAUAGCAUACGGAGGUAUUCAAAGUCCGCUGACUUCGGACAGGAGGUCCAGUCGGCGAAUUCAGAAUCAACCUGAUGCGGAUUAUUUACAGAUGGGACGUGCUAUGCGUGCGGCUAAAAUGAGAGAUGUCGAAACUGAGACAGGUAUGUCUUUCAGCAUUAACGAUUCUAUUCUUCAUUUUUCUCCUCAAGAUAUUCUAGAUAAGGCAGGUUCUAUUGGGGUUACAUUGGGGAACAAUGGCCGAGAAAUUUCGAAAUCUAUUAAUGAUCUAUUAGACUUAGAGGUCGAUAGAGCGUUAGACUUAGUACGAAAUUUAGCGGCAGUUAAACCAAUGCAAGAGUCUGAAGUUAACGAUCUAGGGGGACUGAAUUCUCUUUGUGAUAGUCUGGCCCCGUCAGUGGAUAUAGAGGAUGGUGCGGGCGAGGUUUUAGUUGGUCAAGGGAUGUGUGCCCAAUCUCAUAAGGCUGAGCCUCAAUUCUCUGGUUAUAUGGACCAGGAGUUGCUGGAAAAGCCGAAGCGUCCAUGGAGACGGAAAGUGUAUCCGGUCUCUGCGAUACGUAGAAGUGCUAGAUUUAAGAUUGCCAAAAAAAAUUAUGAUGAUUAAUGAGAGGAAUUUUUUGGAAUAGCAGAGGUCUUUGAGACUUGGCUAAAAGAAGAUUUCUAGCAGAGGCUACUUUAGAGCAUCACCUUGAUUUUAUCGCAGUGAUGGAGACAGGGAGGGAUAACUUUACGUCUCAUUUUUUAAGUUCUCUAUCAGCUGGGGUGGAUUUUGACUGGCACUGUCUCCCUCCAAGAGGAAGGUCCGGUGGGAUCUUACUUGGGGUCCGUUGUGACACUUUUCAAGUGCGGGAGGUGGUGUUUGGGGAGUUUGCAGUCAAAUUCAAGAUUAGAUCUAAGGAUGACGGGUUCCAAUGGGCUCUCGUUGCCGUCUAUGGCGUAGCACAGCCAGAUCUAAAGCCUGAUUUCCUAGCAGAUCUGGUCAGGAUUUGUGAUGACAAACUACCAUUGCUGGUAGGUGGAGAUUUUAAUAUUAUUAGGCGGGCUGAUGAAAAAAGUAGUGUUAAUUUUGAUGGAAGAUGGCCUUUCAUGUUUAACACAAUUAUUGAGAGCUUAGAUAUGAGGGAGACCGCUCUAUCAGGUAGGAAAUAUACCUGGGUGAAUGCUCUACAGAAUCAGACAUUUGAAAAGUUGGAUCGUGUCUUAACUAGUGUAGAGUGGGAGCAGAAGUUCCCUCUAGUAACUGUUAGAGAACUUCAACGCGCAAUCUCGGAUCAUACUCCUCUGUUGCUGGAUUCCGGUGAGGCUAGCCAUAUAGGAAACAAACAUGGAUUCUCUUUUGAAUCAAGUUGGUUCACAAGGGAGGGGUUCAUGGAUAUGGUCGAGAGGGAAUGGAAUACAGAGGUCAGGGGCGAAACCUCUAUAGAAAGAUGGCAGUAUAAGAUUAGACAUCUUAGACAGUAUUUGAGGGGCUGGUCUAAGAAUGUGUGUGGAAUAUAUAAAGAAGAGCAAGAUAAGCUCCUCAAACUUAUAGACAAUCUAGAUCGGAAGGCUGAGAGUUGUCUUCUGGAUGCUAACGAAAGGGAUCUCAAAUUCGAGGCCGGACAGCGCUUGCGUAUUCUCCUAAGAGAGGAGGAAAUGAAAUGGGCGCUUGAGCCAAAGUGAAGGCCAUAGUUCUUGGAGACAAUAACACUAAAUUUUUCCACUUGAUUGCAAAUGGCAAGCAUAGGAAAAAGAAAAUAGUGCAGCUUGAGCAAGAUGAGGGUACAAUACUAGGUCAUGAGAAUCUAAAAUUGUACAUCUCUAACUACUACAAACAUUUAUUUGGUGCUCCUGAGCAUAGCUUUGUGACUAUGGAUGAGCAAAAAGUGGCGGAUAUUCCUCAAGUUGGAGAGGCUGACAAUGAGAUUUUAUCCGCUCCUUUCUCAGAGAAAGAGGUGUUUGACGCGAUAGGGAAUAUGAAGAAUGGAAAAGCUCCCGGUCCAGAUGGGUUUCCGGCGGAGUUUUACAAGCACUGUUGGCAUAUUAUUAAGAAUGAUCUUAUGUCAAUGUUUGCUGAUCUUUUUAGUGGUCACCUUCAACUCUUCCAUUUGAAUUUUGGUACUAUUACACUCUUACCAAAGAAGGAAGGGGCCACGCGGAUUGAACAGUUUCGUCCGAUCUGUUUGUUGAAUGUUAGCUUCAAGAUUUUCACAAAGGUGGGAACAGAUAGGUUGACUAAGAUGGCCCAUUCGGUGGUACAAUCUACGCAAACAGCUUUUAUGCCAGGACGGAAUAUCCUUGAAGGAGUCGUUGUCUUGCAUGAAACUCUUCAUGAAAUGCACUCGAAGAAACUAGAUGGGGUUAUCUUUAAAGUGGAUUUCGAAAAAGCUUACGAUAAAGUCAAAUGGUCGUUUCUCCAGCAAACCCUACGUAUGAAGGGUUUCGAUGAGCUGUGGCGUAGGCACGUCGAUUGUUUUAUAAAGAAGGGAAGUGUGGGUGUCAAAGUGAAUGAUGAUGUGGGUCAUUUUUUCCAGACACUAAAGGGUCUCCGCCAAGGAGAUCCAAUGUCUCCCAUUUUAUUUAACAUUGUUGCUGAUAUGUUGGCACUGCUGAUUAAGCGGGCCAAUGAGAAGGACCUUGUAAGGGGCUUGAUCCCUCAUCUUGUUGAGGGGGGGAGUCUCCAUUUUACAAUAUGUGGAUGACACGAUUCUUUUUUUGGAGCAUGAUCUCAGUAAAGCCAGGAACCUCAAACUUAUCCUAUGCUUAUUUGAACAGCUAUUAGGGCUGAAGAUAAAUUUUCAUAAAAGUGAAUUGUUUUGCUUUGGAAAGGCCAAGGAUGAGCAGCUCACGUAUAAUCAAUUGUUUGGUUGUGCUAGCGGGAGUUUACCUUUUACUUAUUUAGGGAUCCCAAUUCAUCACAGAAAAUUAUCAAAUAAGGAUUGGAAAUGUAUCGAGGACCGUUUCGAAAAAAGUUGAGCUGUUGGAAGGGCGAGCUCUUAUCGUAUGGAGGAAGGUUGAUACUGGUUAAUUCAGUAUUAACAAGUAUGCCUAUGUUUCUCCUAUCCUUCUUUGAAGUACCUGUUGGGGUACGGAAAAGGUUGGAUUUCAAUCGAUCACGGUUUUUCUGGCAAAGUGAUGAGAUCAAGACUAAAUACAGACUCUCGAGAUGGGACAUCAUGUGUAGACCUAAGGAUCAAGGAGGUUUAGGGAUUGAAAAUUUAGAGAUUAAAAAUAAAUGUCUACUCAAUAAAUGGCUGUCUAGAUUAUCUAUGGAGACAAAGGGGUUGUGGGUACAAAUUCUGACGAAUAAAUACCUACAAAACAAGACUUUGGCGCAGGUUACAUUGAGACCAACUGAUUCACCGUUCUGGAAGGGGGUCAUGCGGUCUAAGAAUGCUUUUUUUCUCAGGUCUAAGUUUGUUAUUGGCAAUGGCCAAUCUACUAGAUUUUGGGAGGAUACUUGGUUGGGGGAGACGCCUUUAGCCAUGCAGUAUCCGCAACUCUACCAUAUUACACAAAGGCGUCAGGCGACUGUUGCGUCAAUUUUGCGCCAGGUUCCUCUAAAUAUUCAGUUAUGUAGAGCCUUAAUAGGUAACACAUGGUCAAGCUGGCUGCAUCUAGUGAGAAGGUUGUUGGAUAUUACCCUUACUGAGAACCCUGAUAGUGUUCGUUGGAAGUUGACCACUGAUGGAGUUUUCUCGGUAAAAUCUAUGUAUUUAGAUCUCAUAGAUUCUGUGUCCAUCCCGAAGUCCUUACAUAUUUGGAAGGUCAAAGUUCCACUUAGAAUUAAGAUCUUCAUGUGGUUUGUUCGCAAGGGGGUUAUUCUAACUAAGGAUAAUUUGGUCAAACGUAAAUGAAAAGGUAAUACUAGAUGCAGUUUUUGUGAGAACGAUGAAACAAUUAAACACCUCUUUCUGGACUGUCCUAUGGCUAAACUUCUAUGGCGAACACUUCUUAUUACUUUCAACAUUAAGCCACCCAAUAGUUUAAACACGUCAUUUGGGACGUGGUUAAGAGGGGUCGAUGAUAUAACUGCUAGCCUGAUCCGAGUAGGAUCAUGUGCACUUCUGUGGGCUACAUGAAACUGUAGAAAUGACUUGGUAUUUAACAAACAUCAACAUAUUCACUUUUUGCAGGUCAUUUUCAGGGUUAUUGCCUUGAUCCGCACAUGAUCAUUACUCACUCCUGUGGAAGCCAGGGAGCCUAUGGUUACUGGGUGUGUCCGAUGGAAGAUGGUAGCUCAGGUUAUCUUCAACCGUUUUGGAUGACGGCAUAUUAAUAGGAUAGGUGUUUAGUCAUCUAGGCUUAUUUCAAUGCCUCCCGGUUGUGGCGACGACGCCGUGUAUCUUUUUGUUAUUUUCUUCAUUUACUUAUCUGAAGACUCUUUGUACUUUUCGAGGAUUUGGUUUUGAAAUAAUAUAUGGCCGUAUGCAUCCUUCGAUGCCGAGGCCGGGGCUUUGCCUCCUUUUCAAAACAAAAAAAUUUAAUUUAUCCUUUCAUUGUUAACCCCUUUUUUGGACUGCAGUUAUUCUAACUCUCUUUUAAGUAAUGUAAUAAGGCAUAUCUUUUUCCUCCAUUUCGAGACAAAGUUCGGACCUAGCACAACUGUAACAUCCGCUCUACAUCGACUCACUCUAGAGAGACUAGUCUUGGCACCUUUUGCAGAACAUGAUUAGUGUCCUGACAUGGAGUAUUUUAGCAUAUAAUGGUCAACUCUCAAGCACAUAUCACUUCAAAUUGCAUUGCUGAAAAAGAACAUACACUUGCACGUUUUUCGAACUUUCACGCAACAAUAAAGUAACUCAAUGAAAUAUUAUGAUACACUCAAAAACAAUAAUAAGCACUCAACAAAAUAUCAACAGUUUUAUUUUGAUGGACGUAGUAGGACUGUAUCUGUUGUCCACUUGGCUACUUUAUCAACAUAUUUAUUUCAACCACCCUGAUCAACAGACAAUAUCUAAGUAUGUUAUGCUAAUUGAGUUAAAAUGGAUAAUCCUUAUUUUAUAAGAUGCAAGGAGUCGAAACAUAUUGUGAUUAGUUGCAUGCUACUAGCCUACUACAACACUAUUGAUCUUAGUUAAGAAGAUUAUCUUGUGAUUAGACGAAGUCUAGAUCAUCUAGCCAAGUAUGAAAAUAUUUAAAGGAGCGUGUGGAUACCUUUUCUUCUUUAAUAAAGGAAAAAAAAUUGUGUAUAUAUGCGAGUCUGAAAACAAAGAAAAGAAAGAUGGACAGCUUAUCACAGCUUCACAUAUGUCAUCUACUCCCUGCGUUCCUAAAUAUAAGUCUUUUAAAAGAUUUUACUAAAAGACUAUAUAUGAAGCAAAAUGAAUGAAUCUACAUUUUAAAUAUAUCUAUAUACAUUCUUUAGAAAGACUUAUAUUUAGGAACGGAGGGAGUAAUAGCUAAUUGAGGGGUUCAAAUAACUUUGUUUCGCAAUAAUGAUUGAAAAUCAACCUUUUGUUGAAAUCCGAAACUCUACGUACGGUAGACCUAUUUUUAUCAAGGGAAUCAACAAAGAUGAUCUGCUACAUAAAAAUGCGCGUAUGGUCACUCACGAGCCACAAGGACGAUGCUUGAGUAGUGAUGAGUGAGGUGCACGAUGAGAUUAAAUAUUCCAACUAGUGUAACCGAAAAGUAUAGUAAGUUAGACAUCGUUCUUGGUCCACGAAAAUAGUGGCGUGAUCGAUGACAUCUUGAUGCCGGCCGGAGACUAGGAUCUGGCUGUUUGAUAGGGUACCAAUUAAUUUAUACCCUCCACUUGGCCAACUUACUUCAUCACCAGUCGAUAACUGUAUACGCAUUGUUCCAUAUUCAUGCAUGCACGUGCUUACAGCCCAAGAGCAUUGGGUUUAGCUGGUGCUGUCUGAUCCGCUUGAACUCGUAGAAAAAGGGCCUUUGGCCUGGACCCUUUAGUCCCAGCCUGUCUUUCGGUCGGAACUAAAAGCCGGCCACGUCAUCCCAAAUUAUCAGUUUAACCCGCUUGGCCACCAUUUAUAUCAUUAAAAAACCUCAAAUUUGUAGCGGGGUGAGUUUACAUGUUACCUUGGAUCGCCAUUGUUUUUUUGGCCCUGCGUGUAACGACGAUGGCCGGAGUAGGCUCGUGCAGAUUAGUCCUCCUCUUGGUAAUUAAGGAGUAUAUAUCCACUAGCUAGUGUCUGACAUUCAGAACCUCCACUCGAUGGCCAGAGUAUUUGAUAUUUAUACUCUCCUCUUGGUAAUUAAGGAGUGCAUAUCCACUAGCUAGUGAUCUAAACGUUUCUAUAUUAAUUUAUGGAGGAAAUAUUUAAUAAGGUUAUUACCCAACAUUACAGGCGCCAUCCGAUAAACCAUAUCACUUUUUUUUGCGAGGACCUAAACCAUAUUCAAAAUGCAGAAUUACUGGCACGUGGUGUAGUUUACGGAUCGAGCCUCCUCCUUCGUGGGCACCAUAGUAGUCAUGCAAGACAUCGUAGUUAUAUAGUGGUCAAGUGUGAGUUAUGAUUGCUUGUAUAUUUUUUAUGCGAUUUAUGAGUCAAUAAAAGUGCUUUUAUUGAGAAAUGUAUCUAUAUUGAUUAUUGUUGAACCUGCCAUUAAUGUAACUAUUUACACAUGUGCGGGGCCAUGCCGUCCAACACGAGGAGCUUCAAAGCGUAUGUGUGGGAGGGGAGUGCGUCGAUGCUGCAAUGACGAACUGCUCUUGGUCGGCGUCCAGCCGGUGUUCCUCACCGGCCAGACCGAGGACCAUAGGGACAUCAUCGUCACCAACCUCCACCGCCCGAGUUCAAGGGCUCCACGGUAACCUACAAGUCUCAUGAGAGGCAGAAGUUGCCGACGACCUGGUAUGUCAUCGUGGGCACCAUUGAUGACCAAGGGAACGACAUCCUGGGGGUAUCCGGUGGGGGGCACACCUUCAAGUUGCCCGACCACAACGGCUAGGCUACAUAGAGAUCGGCCAUGCCUUGAUUGAUUUCUUGAGUAAGCUCUAUGCUUUCAAUUGUAUGCAUGUUUAGUAAACAAUCCCUCCCUAGUUGUUGCUUUGUUCAUUUUCAUUGUCGAGAACUUGAGAUCAAUAGUUAGUAUUUAUAAGACGUGUUACGCUAAAAGUUGCAUGCAACAUAAUCAAUGGUUUGUUGGUUUUAUUGUUUCUCUCUAUUACGAGAUCCAUGGGCUAUAUUGUUGUUUGAUGUAUUGUAAUUCUUAACUUGGAUCUGUAAUAUUGAUCAUGGUGUACUUUUUAACUAAAGAUUGUUGAUGGUGGAAUUAGUAUGAAAGGUACAUAGUGCUGUCACACAUAGGGUGUCACUACUCCCAUUUUGGCCCAACAGAAGGAAGGGUCAUCAUUUACGGGUCACCAGACUGCGUUAGUAUAGAGGCAACAAGGUAUUUUAACCAUGCCGAACAUCAUUAUUGUGAAGAUUAAAAAUGAGGCGGCAACUUGGGUCAAUUUUUGGGGUGGAGGAUUUGAGAAACACUAUGCCCCGUGAGAAACUCCGCUAUAUUAUUUAAGUCUUUCGUUUUUAGCCUCUCUUUUUUCGGCAGCGGUUCUUCCAACUCUCCUAGUAAAUAGAAAGGGGGAAAGAAAAUCUUUUGCCUCCAUUUUGAAAAAGAAAAGGUUGAGACUAACAUCCCUUUCCAUCGACCCACUCUAGAGAGUGUCUCCAACCUUGUUUUCUUGGCCCUUUUGCAUGACAUGAGUAGUGUCCUAACAUGGACUCCUUGAUGUGUAACGCUCAGCUCUCCUGACCAAAUCGCUUAGAAUUACAUCACACGCAAAAGUUAUAUACUUUUGCAUGUUUUUCGCACGUCAAUGCAACAUUAAAAAUUUCAAUGAAACAUUAUGAUACAUUUUGAAACAAAAAAGAACUCAGCAAAACAUACUGUGGAAAUAGAAAAUUUUUGCCAACAACUAAAAAAACGCAGUCAUCAAUUUAGCCGCAACAAAAAUAAGAUGUUAGAAGUCAGAACAUCUUGUGCAUGAUUAUAUGCUAUAGGACUAUUCAUUAGAGAAACUAGUUGGGUAAAACUUUCUCCUUUUUCCGAAUCUCCUUUUUAAUGUGGGGAAAAAGCUAAUGCAUUGUGGUUUAAAGUAAAUAUUACAUCGGCCUGGGAAAUUUAAAAUGAAUCUAGACUGGACGGCUACAAAGAGAACCAUAAAAGUAUUCAAGCACGUCAGAAGAAAAGGAAAGAUAAAAUUCAAAAAAGAAAAGAGAAAAGGAAAGAUGAACAACCUAUCACUUGCCUCAUAUCUUUACCUAAUAAUAAAGAGGCUAUUGCUUCCGUCGAAAAACCCACCGCUGCCGUUUUUUAAAAAGCCCCCUGUCUUUUAGGUAAUUAAACCCGCAGUACCUUUUUAUGUGUUACGAACAUGAAAACGUUUCAUUUUUGCAGGGAGCCUCCCAUGGCAUUGGAUAAGAGAAACGCAUCUGGGCUGACGAAAACGCACGAGAGGGCUAUCGCUUCUGCCCUCAUAAUCCCACAUCGAUACUUCACAGAUAAUUUCAUCACUUUAUAUACAUGCGCCUUGGUGAUUUUACAAGAGGCAACGGAAAUCAAGAGAGGAACAAAUUCGAGAAGAAGAAAUUGAGAUGACGCAAACAGAGGUGGAGCUGCGAGACAGAGGGGGCUCGGGGCGAAGGAAAGGGUCGGGCGCCGGCGAUGCAUACGUGGAGGUGGGGGCGUCGGGGUUAGAGGAUUCAGGCAACCGGCGGGGUAAGUCUUGCCGGAGACUGGCCCCAUAGGCCGACCUCGCAGCAGCACACCAUGGGAGGUGGUCGCGAGGUGCAGAGGUGGGAGGCGGUGGAGGAGCGGAGGAGGAGGCGAGUGCGGGCGCCAUUGGAAGGGGGGAGUCGGGGAGAUUGGGGAUCCUGUGGGGCUCUCUCCCCUAGCGGCGCGAGGUGGAGGAGAGGAGGGGGGCUGGGGAUCGGGCUAGGUUAGGGGAUUUAGGAGUGGGUAAGGCUAUGCCUUGGCACGCCUAAUGGGUUGUGCACUACUACUCAUCUCUCUUUCCUUUAAUUUCUUUAUCUAAAUUCUUUAAUUAAAAAUAUGUGGUAUUAUUUUUUUUCCGUUGCAACGCACGGGUCCUUUUGCUAGUAUCAUCUAACAAAUCGAGGGGUUCGCAUAGAUCUGCUUCGCCACAUAAUAAUAUAAUCAUGACAAAAGGCUACCUUCUGGUGAAAGCAGAAGCUCUGCAAUAAAGCUGCAAUCGUAGACCUAUUUUAUGAAGGGAACCAACAAAUCGAGCUGCACAAUCCAAUUAAAUACUAAUUCCUCCGUUCCUAAAUAUAAGAUUUUUUAAAGAUUAUAUUAUGAACUACAUAAAAAGAAAAAUGAAUGAAUCUAUAUUUUAAAAUAUGUUUAUAUACAUUUGUAUGUAGUUCAUAGUUAAAUCUAUAAAAGGUCUUAUAUUUAAAAACAGAGGGAGUAUAAGUACUGAGUAAGUUUGACAUUUGUUCUUGGUCCAACAAAACAGUCGUGUGACCCAUGACGAAGCGGCGAUGCCGGAGUUGGAUCUCACUGUCUGAUAUUUAUCGAUUUGUGCCCUCCACUUGGCCAGCUUAAUUGAUCACCAGUCUCUUUCAUUGACAAUUAGUGCUGCUCAUACACGUGCGUUGCAUACAGAUGAUAUAUUGGGUUUAGGUACGGCUGUCUGAUCCACUUGGCCACCUUCUCACUAGAAAGCUCAAGUUUGCAGCGACGAGUUUGCAUGUUACUACAUUGGAUCGCCGUUGUUUAGCCCUGCGUGUGUGAUGAGGGGCGGAGACCCGGAGCAGACCCGUGCAGAUUCGUAUUCCCUUGGUUAUGUUUUAUUCUGUAUAUUAGGUUUGUAUAAUGUAAAACCUAAAUUUGCUUCGCCACAUAAUAUAAAAUAAUAUAAUCAUGACAAAGGCUACCUUCUGGUGAAAGCAGAAGCUCUGCAAUCAAGCUGCAAUCGUAGACCUAUUUUAUGGAGGGAACCAACAAAUCGAGCUGCACAAUCAAAUUAAAUACUACUCCCUCCCUUUUUAAAUAUAAAAACUUUUAAAAAUUAUACUAUGAACUAUAUAAGAAACGGAAUGAGUGAAUCAAUACUCUAAAAUACUCCCUCCGUUCUAAAAUAGGUGUCUUAACCUUAAUACAAUUUUGUACUAGAUCUAGUACAAAGUUGAGACAAUUAUUUUAAGACAGAGAGAGUAUGUCUAUAUAUAUUUAUAUGUAGUUUAUGUUGGCUUUGGAUCCGUAGAUUAAUUCACCCAGUAGCUACCACAUACGUGCAAGCUAGCCUCUAAGCUAGCAAGCAGGCACACAAGUGGAUGGAUAUCCAAUUCGUAGAAAUAGAACGACGUACGACGAGCUAGCUAACUGAUUCGAUCGUCUUGACUGCUCGGAAUGUAACUCGUUGAAAAACUGAUCGAUGGAUUGCUAACAGGCUCGUAUCGAGCCUGGUACUUUUUUAUUGCGUUUUGAUCUCUGGUGUUACAAGCAACAUCUCUAGGAUGCCUUUUAUACACAUCCACAAGGAACUAUGAAAAUAGACUAGGACUAGGUAUCCUAAUACUACUAGAACUCGGUUUGAUUUUCUUUCCUAAUCCUAUGUGUACAAGGCAACGUGAUUAACUCACAUUCACCCCCUAAUCACGAUGUCCUUACUUCCGACCUGGGUCCCAAACACGAUUGCUGCUUCUCAUAAAUGUUAUCAUCGACAUGGCCUUUGUCGUCCCUUGCAACAUUUUAUGGACCGUCUUUACUGUCGUCGGCUCGUCCGUAGCUCGAUGACAACACUCCUUUUUGGUCGUGUCUUCAAUCUUCAUCUCUUCUUCGGUGCUUUGUAGACUGUCCUUCGGAUCAUCGAGGGUACAUCUUUUGAACCUGAGCGUGACCAUACUUUGGUCUAACUUUGAAUUUCAAGCUCUUGGCGCUUGCAUCAGCCCGUAACUUUGAACCACAAGGAAGAAGUACUUCUUUCCUCCGUGAGUUGCUGGGGUGAUAGGGCCACAUAGAUCACCAUGGAGCAGCUAGAGUGCAUCACUUGCACGAUAGGUAGACUGAGCAGGGAACGGCCUGCGGUGCUGUUUUCCAACCAAGCACCCGUCACAUACUCGAUCAACAUGGUCGAUAACUGGCAUCCCGGAUACCAUCUCCAUCUUUGACAUCUUCUUCAAGGCGUAGAAGUUAACAUGUCCGAAUCAUCAUCACUCUUGGCGAGCCAACACUCCAGUUGAGAUUGAUCAAGGUUGAGGAUAUAGAGCCUGUUCCGUGUGCGAGUAACACGAGCUAGCACGUUUCGGAGGUUGUCGAAGAUCGUCAUUACUCCGUUAUCGAUACCCACCUUGCAUCCAUUCUCGUCAAGCUUCCCAAUAAAGAUGAUGUUGUUGUGAAGCCGUGGGAUGUAGUACACUCCGGUAAGUAUGCGAUGUUCGCCUGUGAGACCCUCGAAGAGGACAGAUCCUUGCCCACAAAUCUCCACAUUUGAACCAUCACCGAACUUGACUGAGCCUUCAACAUCGUAUUCCAGCUCGAGGAAUUUCUCCUUGCACCCCGUCAUGUGGUUACUGGCACCCGUGUCGAGAUACCACAACACAUUCUGAUCACCAGCUAACUUCGGUGUCACUUUGUUUUCAUGAAGUAGCACCUUCCGGCUUGGUUUCACAACCACCGUUUCAGCGAGAUCACAAACUUCGGCCAUCAGAAGACCUGGACCUUCGUCUUCCUCCUUUGCCAAAUUUGCCUUGAUCUCUCGCUUGUCAUGCUCCGGACAAUCCUUUGCAAAGUGACCCAUCUCGUUGCAGUUAUAGCACUUGACCUCGGACAUAUCCAAGUUCCGUUGCUUCCGCCCUUUAGAUCGGUCAGCCUUACCACGACCUUGUAGCUUGCCUUUUCCUUUGCCUUCUCCGGUUUGUCCGCCGCGCGUUGUGCUGCUUGAGCCUUCGUUGCCAUCACACCUUCCUUUGCUACUUGGGGACUCCCAAUCUGCACGUGAGUACAUGAGUUGGUCACUACCUCCUCCGUUGCCUUCCCGACAACUACGAGAAUUCUCUUCCCACGUCCGCAGGCGUCCGAUCGCCUCCGUUAUGGUCAUGUCGUCGAUGUCGUAAAGCUGCUCGAGCGUGCCAAUGAUGUACGUGAAUUUUUUAGUCACCGAACUGAAAAAUUUCUCCACAAUCUCGGUCUCCUCGAGCUUUGCACCAAGCGCGCGGAUCUCUCCCACCAAAGUAGUAAGACGCAUGGCAUAGUCGUUCACCGAUUCAGUUUUCUCCAUCUGCAACUUGUGAAAUUGGCGCUUCAGCACUUGUGCCCGAGCCUUGGUGACGCGAUCUUCUCCGAUCCUCAUCUCGUUGAGUGCGUUCCACGCCUCUCUUGCCGUCUCGAACUCCACCAAUGUCAUCAGCACGGAAUCCGGCACAGACUGGGCUAUGGCGGCCAUGGCACCUUCGUCGCGCUCCUCGUCGACGUCGUCGUCCGUGAUGGCCUCCCACACUCGAAGAGAUCGGAGAAUAAUCUUCAUCUUCACCGCCCACACGUCAUAGUUGGCAUCGGUGAGCAUCGGGUACUGGAUGGGGAUGUUGCGAUGCGCCUGGACGUUGGCGCUGCUCGUUCCUCCAUCACUCGUUGCUGACUUGUCGUCCUUCUUCACCUUGUCGUCGUUCUUGUUCGCCUUGGCACCGCCUUUGCCGGAUUUGACCGACUCAGCGUCGCUGUCCGUCAUCGUAGAUCGUAGAUCGUCGAGGCUCUGAUACCAAUUGUUGGCUCUGGAUCUGUAGAUCAAUUCACCCAGCAGCUACCACGUACGUGCAAGCUAGCCUCUAAGCUAGCAAGCAGGCACACAGGUGGAUGGAUAUCCAAUAGAACGACGACGAGCUAGCUGACUGAUUCGAUCGUCUUGACUGCUUGGAACGUAACUCGGUGAAAAACUGAUCGAUGGAUUGCUAACAGGCUCGUAUCGAGCCUGGUACUUUUUGUAUUGCGUUUUGAUCUCUGGUGUUAUAAGCAACAUCCCUAGGGUGUCUUUUAUACACAUCCACAAGGGACUAUGAAAAUAGACUAGGACUAGGUAUCCUAAUACUACUAGGACUCGGUUUGACUAUCUUUCUUAAUCCUAUGUGUACAAGGCAACGUGAUUAACUCACAGUUCAUAGUUGAAUCUUUAAAAGGGCUUAUAUUUAAGAACGAAGGGAGUAUAAGUAGUGAGUAAGUUUGGGACACGCCGUUUUGGCUCCCGGACUCAGAUGAGCCCGAGCGUAAACAGUACGCCAGUUUGGGGUGCAAAAAAUGUUCCAAAAAAUCAAAAAAAAUUGUGAUGCAAGAUGCUCCUAUGUGUGAACUCUCUGUAAAAUUUUGUGAAGUUUGGACAUACGAGGAGCUCACUGCAAAAAAGACGAAAUUCAGAUGUGUGAGAAACUUUUGAAAAUCACACUAUUCAUGCCUGAUUUUGUCUUUUUUGCUGCAAACUCUUCAAAUGUCCAAACUUCAUAAAAUUUUACAGAGUUCACACAUCGAAGCAUCUUGCAUCAUAAAAAAAUAUUUUUUUUAAACUUUUUUGUAUUCCAAACCGUUGUACUGUUCACCGGGCUCAUACGAGCCCGGGCUCACAGAUGGAUUACCGGUAAGUUUGACAUUUGUUCUUGGUCCAACAAAACAAUGGUGUGAUCGAUGACCAAGCGGCGAUGCCGGAGUUGGAUCUCGCUGUGUGAUAUUUAUCGAUUUGUGCCCUCCACUUGGCCAGCUUAAUUGAUCGCCAGUCUCCUUCAUUGACAAUUAGUGCUGCUCAUACACAUGCGUUGCAUACAAAUGAUAUAUUGGGUUUAGGUACGGCUGUCUGAUCCACCUGGCCACCUUCUCACUAGAAAAGCUCAAGUUUGCAGCGACGAGUUUGCAUGUUACUACUCCCUGUGUACCGAAAUAUAAGACCUUUAAGAAAAAUUCCGACCAGAUGAAAAUGUGGACAAUUGACCAGGUUACCCCCCACCUCCGGCAGCUCGCUAAUUUCAAAUCAACCCAGAUCCAGUCGCCCCCCACCUCCGGCCAGCUCGCUAAUAACCCAGAUCUCACUACUCUGCUUGUCCGCUCCCUCCUCUGCCCCAGCUUGUCCGCUCCCUCCUCUGCCCCAGCUUGUGCGGCCCCUCCUCUGCCCCUACCUCCUCUGCCCAGCUCGUCUGCUAGCUACCAGCAGCUUCUCCAGUAGCCAGCGGCAGCAGCUCCUCCGGCAGCUAGCAGUAGAUCCAGCAGCUCCUCCACCAGCCAAUAGGAACUCCAGCAGCUCCUCCACCAGCUAGCACGAGCUCCAGCAGCUCCUCCACCAGACACCAGCACCAGCUCAUCCACCAGCCAGCGGCAGCCCCUCUGUCUGCCGGCAGAAGCAGCUCUUCCGCCUCUGCACUCCCAGCUGCCUCAACGAGGUCCUCUCCCAGUGAUGCACCCAUCGCCCAACAGAUCGCCGGAGGUUUUUCUUUUGAUCCAGGGUGCAGAUCGCCACAGGAGGUCCUAGUGGUGUUGGAUCCUGCUUAUCCCGUCUCCUGCAAACCAAAAAAGCAGGACAAUUAGAGGGUAUUUAUCACAACUUAGCAACAGUUGAACAGAAAACAGUUUAACAACAGCAGCAAAAAUUUUAGCGAGAUCAACAACAUCAGUAGCAGCAUCAAGACAUAGCAACAAUAGCAGCAAUAGGGAGACAUAGAAGUAGCGACAUGGAGUGGCAGCAGGAGUUCAUCAAAAUCAAUAGGGAGUAGCAGCAGCAGGAGUUCAUCACAAUCAAAAUCAACAGGGAGUGGCAACAACAUGGAAUUUGACCUCAACUGUACUCCGCCCGAAGAAGAUGAGAUCAGUCAAAAUGAGAUCAACAUGGAGGACUCACAGGGAGGCAAUGAUCAUGUUGAAGAUGAGAUCAACAUGGAGGACUCACAGAGAGGCAAUGAUCCUGGUGAACAUGAUAUGAACAUGGAGCAAAUAAGGGGAGGCAAUGAUCCCCACGAAGAUGAUAACAGUAAGCACAAUAUACUCAUUUAGCAGUAACAGUGUCUCAUUUACCAAGUUUUUGAAAAUGAACAGCAAGUCUAGUUUCUGAAGAUGAACAGUAACUCCACUUUCUAGAAAUAAACAGUAAUAGUAACUCAUUUGAUCAUUUGAACAUGUGACCAUUUAAAUAUUUUAUCAAUUUAUCAUUUGAUAAUUUGAGUAGGACUAAUAUUUUUUCAUUGUUGUGUUUCUUGUUGCAGUUCUUGAGCAAGGAGUUAGAAAGAGGAAAACUCUGAGUGACCAACAAAAAUAUGCUGCUUAUGUGGCAUUGCACAUAUUAUGUAUGAGUAGAGGUGGAAAGUUCAAGAUAACGGAUAAGAAAAACCUUGCACAUUUUUUUAAUGUAGAAUUGAGGAGUAUACAAAGAGUUUGGCAGAAGGCGAUGAAGCAAAUUUCAGAAGGUUUCGAGGUGGAUGUUUCCAACCAGAAAAAAGGAAAUGUGGAAGAAAACCAAAGGACAUCAACCUAGAGAAAAUCCCUACAAUACCACUCAAUAGUAGGUCUACUAUCAGAUCAUUAGCCUGGCAACUGGGAUGUAGCCCUACCACUCUCCACAGGAAUUCAAAAUGAAGUUGAUAAAGAGGCAUACAAACUGUGUCAAGCCAGCUCUAAAGGAAAAGAAUAAGAAGGAUAGAAUGAAAUUUUGCUUGUCAAUGCUUGAUGAGGCAACAACAAAAACUGCAAGGCCUAAGUUCAAGACUAUGCAUAAUGUUGUACAUAUUGAUGAGAAGUGGUUUACGAUGACCAAGAAGAAUAAAACUUAUUAUCUGCUGGAUGGGGAGGAAGAGCCUACAAGGCCUAUACAUGGCAACUGUAUUGGCAAGGUUAUGUUCUUGACGGGCGUAGCUAGGCCACGGUGGGAUAGUGAAGGAAAUGUGACCUUCUCUGGAAAAACCGAUGAACUCACGAUAAACUGCGUGCGCUCUUUGUCCCAGUUUCAGUUCCCUUGUUCUUGCUUUUCUAUAUCCCGAUGAACUCACGAAUCCAUGAUCCAUGGUCAAUCCCCAAUAUAUAUACUCAAGCAAUAUACUCUCUCAGCAGUAUAUAAUCAAUCAUACAGGAAAGAGUAUCACUCUCUCAGCAGAAUACAUACUCACGAAUCCAUGGUCAAUAGCAGCAUAUACUCCGUGUGGGGAUUAGUCUAGCUCGUAAGCCACGGGUCCAAAUCAAGCAAUAUAUCUACACUAGAAUCUGUAGCAGAGUACACAUCUGACAAAACCGAGAGAUGUGGAGAGGAAGGGGGUAAGAGACGGAAGGGUACCUGGGUGAGGUCGCUGAGGUGGAAGCAGCCGGUGGAGCGGUCGAGGUCGCCGCUAGGGUGUCGCCGGUGCACUGGAGCUCUGCCAACUCGUCCCCAACUCGACGCCCAGCUCGACGCCCAGUCCGGCGCCCAGCUCGAUGCCCAGGUCGACGCCGUCAUUGCUCGGGCUCGGCUUCAGCGCCUCCUUCACCCUGUCCUUGCUCGCCCAGCUCGUCGGCUUCUUGGUCUCGACGAGGCUCCCGCUGAAGUACUCCACCCCCGCCGCCGCAUAGACGAGCAACCCAACUGAGGGCGCCCGCAGCUCCCGCUGAAGUGAUCUGCUAUGUCCAGCACCACUCCGUCAUCCAUAUCCAACAUCGGCGCCCACACCAGCUCUGUCGAUGCAAAACAAACACAUUUUUGACCUUUGAGUGGGAAAGGAAGGAGAGGAAGCACGCAGUGGGAAAGGAAGGAGACAACACACGCGGUGGGCUGUGGGAGGAAGAACGCGGUGGGCUGUAGGAGGAAGAACGGUGGGCUACGGUGGCCGGCGACGACGUAGAGAGGCGACGAGGGAGGGGAAUGAGAGGGUGUGAGAUCUGGGCAGCGAGUGGAUGAGAAUGGGCAGGUGGGGGCAUUUUCGGAAACUCGGAAAGUUUCGUAGUGUCGCGAGAUUUACACUAGAAUCGCUAAAACGUCUUAUAUUUCGGUACAGAGGGAGUACAUUGGAGCAGACCUGUGCAGAUUCGUACUCCCUUCGUUUUUAUUUAUUCUGUAUAUCAGGUUUAUAUAAUGUCAAACCUAAAUCCUUUUAACAAAUUUGUAGAAAAAUAUAUCAACAUAAUCCCUUCAUUUCACAAUUUAGCGCUCGUUCGUGUGCUUUUCGAGAUCUAAGUUUGACCAUACCUUUAAACAAGAAGACCGAUUGCUAUGGGAGCAAAAAUUGAAUCACUGAAUUUGUAUUGAAAUUAAAUACUGAAUUUGUAUCGAAAAUAUAAAUUCAUUGGUAUAAUUUCUGUUGCCACCGCAGUCGGUCUCGUUGGUGAAAUUUAUGGUCAAACUUAGACCUCAAAAAACGCGAGCGCACUACAUUGUGGAACGGAGGGAGUAUACACCAUCAAAUCAAUAUCAUUGGAUUCAUCAUUUCAUAUAUUUUCACAUCAUAUAAAUUUAUUAUUGUAAAUGUUCAUAUCGUUUUCUACAAAUUUCAUCAUACUUUAGAUAGUUUGACUUCAGACAAAACUAAUAUGAGGAGUAAAUAAAAUCAGAGGGGUACCACUCCUAGUAAUUAAUGUGUAUAUCCACUAGCUGCUGAUUGACAUUCAAAUUCUCCACUUGACGAUGGCCAGAGUAUCUGAUAUUCAAACUCUCCACUUGGCCACCUUAUUUCUUCUCCCCAAAUGAGCUAUGAACUGCUCAUUCAUCCAACAUUAAAAUCACUGUGAUGAAACUCUACUCUUUCAGUUUCAUAAUUAGUGCAUAUAGUUUUUCCCCAAAAAACUAAACUUUGACAAAGAUUAUAAAUAAAAAGUCUAUAUCUAGCACAUUGAAUACAUACCAAUAGAUUCGUCAAAAAUAUUUGCAUAUAUUAUAUGAUGGUAUUGUGGAUAUACAUAGAGUUAUCUAUAAACUUGGUCAGAUUUUACAAUGUUUGACUUUUCUAUAAAACCAAUAUGCACUACACUAGGGGAUGGAGGGAGUAUCGUAUGAAAUAUUAUGUGGAAUUAUUCCGUUUCAGACAAUGUUUGGUAUCAAACACAACAGGUACAAUGUUCUAUAGUUUCUCCAAUGUGCAGAAUUAUUAGUUGAAUUGGCAAUUAUUUACAGGAGGGGAGUGCGCUGGUGUGACCGAAAACUAAGUGGAUCGAUGUAUAACAAGCUUCUUUUGGUCGGCAUCAAGACGGUGUUCCUCAUUGUCCGAAUCGAGGACCGGAGUGCAGUAAAUUUUACCAAUCUAUGAUGCGCUCUGGGUGGAUGAAACUGCUCCAAAAGUUGCCCGAGUUCAACGACUCUGUGGUGACCUACGAAUCCGGCGAGCGGCAGAAGUUGCAAGACGUCAGGUAUGAUAUCGUAGGCAACAAUAGUGACCAGUGGAGUGACAUCCUCGACACACCCAAGGGCACCCGCACCUUUAAGCUUCCCUACCCGAUGUACUAAAUCGGCUAGGUUGAAUGCUAGCUAAUCGUCCACGAAUAAGCUCCAUGUUGUUCACUAUCCAUGCUUUGUGAUUACCUUUUUUCCGGGCAUGCUUCCUCAAUACUAAUCCACUAUUACUGCUAGUUUUCUAAUUUCUAUUGAGAAAUCUAUUGCUGCUUGGUUAAAUUCCAUAGUUGGGACCUUGAGUCAGUUACUAGUAUUAAUAAGGUAUGCUACAAAGAAAUUGCAUCUUGCAUAAUCAAUGAAUCGAUGCUCCAUUUUUCCUUGAUUAUAUAAUAUAUGUAGUUUCUAUUUUACACUUUGAUUUAUUUAUUUUUUACUUUUAAUAUUUCCUUUUUUUUCAUUUUCUAGUUUUAUGUUUUAUUUUUUUAUUUGAUCUCCCUUAUGUAUUUAUUUUCUUAUUUUAUUCUUUAGAAUGCUUUCUAUUUGUAAAAAAUAAUGAAUUUUUCCAUACCCUAAUAGUUAAAAACAAUUCCGGGAUAUUAAAAUUACGAUGAACAAGGUCCUAAUAUACGUCGAGAUUUUCCCAAAUACCUGAUGAAUAGUUUUUAUAUGUUUAAGUACAUUUAUAAUUUUGUAAUUACACCAUCAAAUUUAAAUAUAUUUUAAAUAUUUGUUGAAUGCACAAAAAGCAUUUACUAAAUAAUUCGGAACAUUUGCUAUUACAUUGUGAACAUUUCUAGAAUACACAUUGAACAGUUUCCAAACCAUGAUGACUUUUCUAAAUAUGCAUUAUAAAAUUUUCAGUUACACGAACUAAACUGUUUUACCCUGAAUUAUUAUUAUUUUUAAAUUUGUUUUUUCUUAGAAUUAUAAAUAAAAUUAAAUUGAAGUGUUUCAGAGUAUAAAGGACAGAACGGGUAAAAACAAUGACAGAAAAAAUAAAAAUUGCAUUGGGUCGGGUCAUUGUGGAAUACUAUGGGCGAGCCCAAAGGAGUGUUCAUUACUGGUGAAUUAUAGUAGCAACGUGAGGGAAAGUGUGCUUCUCAGCCCGAGCUCAAAUGAGCUCUGGUGAACAGUAAAAUCCAAAAAUAAUUAAAAAAAUAUGAAAUUGUUUGGUGAAAGAAAUUGAAAAUAGUCGUAACUGCCUCCAAAAUUGUAUUAUGAAAUAACAUUUAUUGAAGCCAUGGAGAAAACAAAAUCGAUACUCCAAAAUGCUUUUGAAAUUAGUAUUUUCAGAGUAUCGAUUUUGUUUUUUUGCCACAUGUCACACAAAUGUGAUUUUCUGAUGAAAUCUUGCAAGAUAUUAGAACUUUUGCCAAUGUUUAUCACAAAAAAAAAUAGAUUUUUCUGGAUUUUUUUAAUUUAGUUUUGAUUUUACUGUUCAUCAAAGCUCAUUUGAGCUCGGGCUGAGAAACUCCACAUCCCAACGUGAGCGCCUAUUUGGUGUCGUGCUCAUUUCUGGUAGCCGACAAACUGAGUGGUUUUGUGCGUGACGUAAAAGACACAAAACAAUCAGGGCACUUCGAAGGAAUCAACGUUGUGUCCUUUCACAGGGAAUGCGUGAUGCUAGUUGCUGGCCACUCGUGCCAACAAUUUUUGCUAAUAGAAACACAACAACAAUGUGCAGGAAAUUACUGCAGCGGUGAAUUCCAAAUAUUUUCUAAAGUACACAAAUAUUUCAUCAAAUCUGAACGUUUUUUGAAAAAUCACAGUAUUUUUAAGAUGCCCAAUAUUUUUUUUAACUUUUCAGAAUAUUUUAAAUUUCAAACUUUUUUUUUAAAUUGCCAAACAUGUUUUGAAUUUGUGGACAAAACUUUUGAACAGAGAAACAGUUUUACAACAUCUGAAACCUUUUUUGGAACGCAAUAAGUUUUUCCAAAUUUCCAAGCAUUUACAGAAAAUGGAACAUAUAUUGACCAUUUCCAAACAUUUUUCAAAAACAUGAAUACUUUUUGAUUUAUGAACAUCAUUUCAAAACAGGAACAUUUUUUGAUAAUUCUGAACUAUGUUAGAAAAUGCGAACAAUUUUUGGACGUUUGUUGAGAACCCAAUCAUUUUUAGAAGAAAAACAAUUAUUAAAGUUUCAGACAUUUUUUUACUUGUGAAGUAAUGACCAAAGAAAACCAUAAAAUGUAAAACAACCGAAAAUAAGGAAAAAAGGAAAGAAAAAGUUGAAAAAAAUAAAAAUAUGAAUAAUAAAAAAUAAUAAAUUCUGGAAAGCAGUGAAAAAUAAAUCACAAAACGGAGACCAGUUUAUACGUCCUGCUGCUAUAUGACAAAGUAAAAAAUCUAAAAAGAAAAUCCCACAACAAAAGCUAUUUGACAUACCGAGCGUCAUAUAGAAAAUUCAAACAACAACCACCACAGAACGCUGAUACAGAUGACGGGCAGGUGGAUGUUUCUCAGAAUCAGAUUUUGAAGAAUCAUGAGGCGAAAAGAACUGGUGCCUGCAAUCGGCCGUGGCAUGUACACAGGUGCUAGUAAUGAUAUAAAUCACGGAUAUUGAUUUUGAAGGUCGAGCUCCAUGGAGGUCUUUGAAUGCAAAAUUCAAAAUUCAUGAAAAUAUUUUUUUUUUAUAUUUCGAAAAAUUCCGUAACAAAUACAGAGAUAGAUGAAGGCAUAAUACACAAGUGUGUAAAUUUUUAGGACCAAAUACGUUGAAAUAAGGCUGUACAAAAAAGGCAAAUCUGAGGUUGUUUAACACAUGAUACUAUUCAUCCUCUCGGAACAUGAUUUUAUAUUUUUAUACAGGUUGCAUUUCAACGUAUUUCAUCCUUGUUUAGUUUUAUAAUUGUUUUCAAAAAAUCUGAGGAUGAGGCAUAUGUCUCACAUCCUUGUUUAGUUGUAUAAUUGUUGUAAGAUUUUUUUUUUAAUUUUGAACUUUUCAAAAAAUCGGCCUCGGCCAAAACGCCUUUCUCUAUAAAUCGUGAUUUGUAUACUGGUAAGAAGAAUGAAGCAAUGCAUAUUCAACUAAACAAACUACAUAUUGUCUUGAAUUCACUCAUUUGGAAUCUAGCUAGAAAGGGUGCUUUUUAGGUGCCCAGAUUUUUUAAUUUUUUUGAGGGAAGUGACGAGGUUCUUGGGAAGAAAAGAUUUAACAGAUUCAUUGGUUUUCACAAAGAGAGCAAAUCAAUAUGAGCGCAGAAGCAAUCGAGUUUUGCCAUUAUUAAGCAACAACAUGACAUACAUGAUACAACUAGAGGUACAUAUAGCUAAAUUAGCGGAAGCCCUUUGUAUUGGUACUGCUCGCCGAGCUCCGCGAGCAGAUCGUUUUCCGCCUUGAGUAUGUCGCCCAUGUUGUCCAGCAGGAGGUACUUGUCCAGCGAGAAGCCCGACUCCGGCGAGAUGAGCGCCGCGACGUUUCUCAGGAACUCCUCGUCUAAUGGGGCAAGGGGCUCCCACUUUUGUCCCGACGUCAGCAGCGGCUUCUGAGGUCGCCGCCUCACGACCUUCAUUUUCUUCUUCUUCAUCGUCAUCCUCCUCUUCUCCCCUCUUGCGGGCGUCGGCGACUUCGCCCCCGCCUCCGUGUUCUCACACGAUGAACUCGCCAUGAUUCUUCUCCCGUCCUUCUUCCGCUGAGAAGAUUGGUCUGCUCUGCUGGUUUCGCAGACUUGCGUGCUCGCCGGCACCGGUAUAAAUACAGCAAAAAUAAGAGAUCGAUGAUUCAUUUCUUGGCUAGGGGAGCAGUUCGUUGUAUCCGACUCGUAUUCAGUCCACGGUUCCGGUUCCUACUCCCGCAUGGUCGACGCAUCGGUUGGGAUCCUAAUUGGGACGGCCCAAUGGUAGGUUAUUUUAUAGUAUUUUUAUGUAUAUUGUCUAUAAGGACGUUACUGCAUCAAAAAGAAAAGUAUAAUGGCUCUGCAUCUAGUCUAGUUGCUGAAGCGUGUGCGUCGAACAGCUUCCCCAUCGCUUAGUGACAGUUCAUGAAAUCGUGUGCGAUGACCAUUUCUAUGGAUUUUUUUUGCAUGAUAAUAUGUGUCUCAUUUAUAUCAUAAUGAAAAUAAUACAAGACCAUUGUUGUGGAUUAUAACAACACAUAUACACAGCCAAAUACAAACCCUACGGUCUUGGUCACAAUAUAGUGGUACAGGUGUCCAUUAGGACAUAUGUCCGUGUGUUGCAACGGAAAAAAAAUUAAUUUGUAUUUGCAAGCACAACACGUCAUGCUCCGCUACGAAAGAACGCUAGUUACCACAUGACCAAAACGACCAUCGAUGCAUCACUACAUCCAGAGAGUGUCACCACCUGCAGGGAGGCGCACGUCAAAGCCUUCAACAAACGCGGGGACUAUGUUACUCCCUUUGUCAGACAUUAUUAGGCUGGUGGACCACUUAGCCUCAGCCGGACAUUAAUCAUGAAGUGAGCCUUAGCGCAGAUGGUAAAGAUAUCUUCAACGUGACGAUGUGGCGUUGUGGCUCCCUGGCCCAGAUCUUCCCACCAAUGAAUAGUAAAAUCGACAAAAAAUAGAAAAAAUGAUUUUUUUUUUUGGAGUGCAAGAUGUUCCUUUGGGUGAUGUCAAAAACUGCUUGGAGCUGAUUUUUAUUUUUUUUUGCCAGACGCUCCUCGAAUGUCCAAAUACCUCGAAAUUUUGCAGACAUUUUAGCAUCUUAUGAGCCAAAAAGGAUUCAGAUUUUUUUGAUAUUGUGCUUUUCACCGGAUGCAGAUGAGCCGGGGACCAUUUUGAUUAUUAUUAUGGCUAAUCUAGUUUAAAUGUGUCAUUGUUCAUGUAGCCCACAAUCAUUUUUUCUUUUAUUGUUUGAACACACCACGUCCUUCAUUUCUUUUAAAGGUUUCCUUGCAUGUCUGCUCGUCGUGCAGUUCAUUCCUUUUAAUUGUCAUUCCUUUUAAUUGUCCGCUUUUAGCAUCCAUUUUUAACUGUCUUGCUGAUAUUCCAAGCAAACCGCAAGGUAUAUAAACCGGUAGGGAUCUAUCUAAAGAGGCAAGGUGGGUUUAUUUAACAUAAAAUAUUGAUGUCGAGUUAUUUUUAAAAAAACAGCCUCAACUUUAUUAAUUAGAGAUAAUUGUUACAUCGUCUAUUAAAAAAGAUACAAUAUUUUCCAAAGGCUCCUCAAUCCACUCACUCGUAUCAGAACUCUUUGCUAAUCUAGCAAGCUCAUGUGCUACUUCGUUCGCUUCUAGUAAAAAAAAUUCAGAAGCCAUAGAAAAACAAUCCUCAAAGGUUGCAGCCGCCGCUCCCGCAUAGUACCCUCCCUUGUUCAUUGUUUCAAUUACUUCCGAGAAUAUUGAUGUAGAGUUGGUUAGUGCAGUUGCCUUACCCUGGACAUGGAGUAUUGAGUUUAAUCUUCCAUAAAUACAUAUUUUUGUACACGUUGUUCGUGGCCCAUGGCAGACGGCCCAAUAUUGUAGCGAAGCCCAGCAGUGCAGCAACCUGACAUGGUACGAUAGAUGGUGAGGUGUAUGCGUGCUAGCAACGUAAGAAAACGGCCAGGGAGAGGCAAUGUAUGUACAAUAUUUUUAACCAUGGAUUCAAGCUCGUAAAAUUUUGAGACUUUUCCAUAAAACUGUAUGACAGACUAAGAAUACAUAUUUUCUUAAUUAGUAGGUAUAGAUGCGGCAAGUGGAUUGUUUCCUGGUUUUGGGAAGUUUCCAUAAGCUUUUCAGACGGUUUUUCAUUUUUUCUAUUUUGGGGUUUUCCUGUACCAAUCUUGUCUAUUUUUUAUUUUCUACUUAUUUUCAUUUUGCUUUAUUGCAUAUUCUUUUACUUUUUUUCAUUUUCCUUUUUCUAUUUAAUUUUGGCAAAACACGAAUUGUUUCAAUUUUAUGAUACUUUUUUUAAUUGAGGAACUCCUUUUCGAACUCGUUUUUUCAAGUUCAUCAUUAUUAUUUUUUAAAAUUAUCACCUUUUUAAAAAAUAUAUGAACUAUUUUUAAUGUUUGUGAACGCUGUCUCAAAAUUGAUGAACUUUUUUCCUAAAUGCUGAAGUUUAUUUUAAAACUGAUGAACUUAUUUUAAUAUUUGAUGAUCUAAUUUUAAAACCGGAGAAUGUUUUUGCAAAAUAGACGAACUGUUUUUCUAGCAUAUGUACCUUUUGAAAAUUCAUGAACUUUUUUUCAAUUUUUGGGCUUUUUUUAAAAGUUGAUGAGCUUUAUUCAAAAUCGUGAAAUAUUUUCCAUCUAUGUGCAACCUCUUUUUUCAAAAUCAUGAACAUUUUCGAAUUGAUGAACUAUUAACAGAGAUUAUACGCAUGACCUUUUUUGAAUUCGCAAACUUUUUGUUGAAAUAUCUGCAUUCUAUUUGAUUUUCUGAUUAUUAUUUUCAAGCUAGCGAGCGUGCUCGUGGGCUCACCCAUGCUAGCAAUGGUGCGAGCUGGCACUGGCGCAAAACGCGUCAAUUAGGAAGAGCAACUAAUUAAGGAGUACUCGUCCGAGAGCCUCUCGAAGGGUCCAUUGCCACGUGUCGUACUCUUGGUGUUUCCUUUGGAUUUUUUUCUAUACAUAUUUAUGUCUGGAAUUUUGGCUUUAAGAUGAUUUUGUUUUCCGGGUUUUUUUGGCUUUUCCGUUUACCCCCGAUUUUUCUUACAAUUUAGACCCAAAAAUAAGAUUUUAAAGAAAAAUCACAAAAAAAUGCAUUUUCUCUUUCUUUUUUCCUACCCUGAGAGACAUGGAUUUGCUUCUCUUAGAGGCACAUGUGCCUCCUGAAAAAGCAAAAAAAAUGUUUUUUCCUUCCGCGAGGCAAGGUCGUGCCUCUCAGAAAAGAAAAAAGAUCCAUUUUUCCUUUCACGGAAGUACGGAUUUGCUUCCCUGAAAGGCCUAGUCGUGCAUCUUGAAAAAGGAAAAAUGCAUGUUCUCAUGAAGGAAAACAACGUGGUUUUAGUUUGGUUUUUUUGUUUGAUUUUUUCGUGAAAAAAAGUCCAACGAAACAUAUCAACAUGUGGUCUAGUUUUUAAGAUCUCGACGCAUGGAAUCUAACGGCAAAACCAGUUCUAGAUUUGGACGUAGGUUUUGAGAGAUAAAAUGUUUUGAAUAAACAAAUCUGCGAAAAAGGAAAAACCCUUAGGUUGCUACAAGUGACGCACAUGCAGUUGAAGACUUGUCGCACCCUGGGUUGGGGGAGUGAUCUUUGCCAAGAGUAGUUUUCAAUUAGUGAUUUCGCUAAUUAGAAGCUCGCAUCAUCUCCGAUGCGAGCACUAGUGGAUCAGCCCAUGUGCGCUCAUAUGGGUUUUUUGGAGCGGCUUUUGGAAGCUUCUAUGGAGCUGUUUAGACAAAUUUGAAAACCUUUCAUUCAUUUUUUAUGUGUUCACUAUAUAGAUUUACAUGGACUAAAGUAAAAUGUAGAUUUACAUUAUUUUUUCCCUUAGUUUUCUUUGUGUGUUUUUAUUCAUUUUUUGAAUACACAUGGAAUUUUUGGAAAUACAGUUCGAAUAUUUUUUGUUUACAUGUUAUUUCUUUUAUACACGUUGAUGAUUUUUGUAGACACAUUUAAGUGUUUUCCAAAAUAAACAGUAUUGAUUUGUCAAAUGAACAUUGGAUUUCUUAUGAAUAUAAGGUGAACAUUUAUGAAACACCCAUUGAACAUUUAGAAAAAUUCCAUGAACAUUUUUUUCUUAAAGCAUGCAAAACAGUUCUUAAUGUUAGAACAUAUUUUUUAAUGUCAAAGACAUUUUUGUUGAAUGGUACAAAAUAUUAUUUAAAAUUACAAGACCAUUUUUACAUACUAGAAACAGUUGUGGAAAAUGUUAUGACCAUAUUUUUGAAACGGCUGAAUAUUGUUUAAAUUUCAUAAAUAUAUUUAGAAUGGUAUGUCAAAAGUUUAAAAAUAUGUGAAUAUUGUUUCUACAUUGUAUAAAAAAUUUAAAAACUGUCAUGAACAUAUUUCUGAACACAUGAACUAAAUGUCAGGAACAUUUUUCGAAUGGUACAAACAUUUUUAAAAUUGUGGAGACAAUUUAUUACACUACAUGAACAUUUAUUUGAAACACGCAAUGAACAAGGGGUAAGGGACACGUGUCAUGUGCUUUGCUAGCGCAUCGUGGUUGCUGAGUGUCUCAUUCCUUUGUUGUUGAGUUUUGUUUUAGUGCGGAGUGUUUUUACAGUAUACUCGAGAAAGAUCCUACGUUACGAAGGAUGUGUUUGGUAGGCGUUUCUAGCGGGACUGGCUCGUGGACAUUGGCUCAACAAAGUUUGGUUGAGAUAAAACGAUCAUAAAACUAACAUCUGCAUUUAGUUUGGUUGCCGGCAUACAUUCUAAACUGAAUGGGGUGUCAUGAAAGACAUACUAUUUGGUUGUCUGUUUGUGUAUGCGCAAACACAAGGCCUACUAUUUGGCUGCAUGCAACACUUGUUGUGAGAUAACCUCUUCGAUGCGGUGGUGAGGUUACCAUCACAUAGCGGCGUCAGGAAGAACACACAACAUAACAUAGUAGUAAGCAGUUAUAAAUAUUGUGUCACAUUUAAAUAGAUUAGUUUAAAUGCAAAGCAGUUCAAUAUUAAACUAAAGCAACUAGAGCAUAUGAGCGGUUGUCCUAGACGUUCACAACGAAGGCAUCGUCAUGUCUCCCGCACCAGGCCACCACUUUACUGCCAUCGUCAUUGAAGACGAUGACCUUCACCAUGUCGGGAGUCAUCAACUGUGACCAUGAAGCCUAUCUUGAUUUGUUGGACGGCGACGAAGGUGGCCCAAACCUGGUCGAGGGUGACCCUUUCGUUCAACAGACGGACAAUGACCCUCCUAGAGCACUCGGUGUUCGCCUUCAAAUUGAACUCCUGUGGCAUAGACGGGAAGUGCUUCAUGAAGUCGAGUGGCAUAGGUAUGGCCUCGAGUGGCAUGAUUACCUUGCAGAAGUUAUUUGGCUCACCCAUCUCAUGGUAGUGGUCGUAGUUCUGACGCUUGUCGCUGGGGGGCUCCUCCGCGUAUCGUUGUCCGUGACCGGGCUCUGGACAGGCGCCACCUUUGAGGGCGGCACAACAUCCUUGCACUUGUAUUGCUCCUUUGGUGGCACCACCUCAUUGCCCUUGUUCUCCGUGUCGAUUUGCAGUGUGAAGAGGUUCAAACGAUUGGGUCAGGAUUUGCAAUAUGAACAUUGCAUCAUUGUCAUUAACUUAUUGUCGAGAACCCCAUUAUUUACCUAGGCUGAUGGUUACCACUUACCCACCACCUAGUUGUUUGUCUCUCUUCCUCCAACCCAAUGCCAUGAACUCUAAGAACAAGUCUAACCCCAUCCGCAACCCCUUUCCUUGGGGCAUUGGAUGGAGGGCCUUCUUCCUAGGGUGCUCGCUCGAUGACCGCACCAAGUUUGAGAACACCAUGAAAGUGUGUUCAAACUUCAACAGCUUGGAGGAGCAGUACAAAGAGUAGGACGCUAUGGUGAAGAAGGCGAGUCGGAGGAGUUGAAGACGCUGAUCAGUGACCCAAUGAAGGGUUCUAUGUGAGCCGACAUACUUCAUUGAGCCAUGAAUCAAGCCGUCCCCGGCGACGCUGGACAGAGGGAAAACUGAGCCAAGUACAGACAGCAUCGGUGUUCUUAUGACCACGGGGCCGCAACGUACUUCACCACAAAGAUUAUGGUGGUGCCGGUGGAGGAGCAUCAAGAAGUGCUGGCUAUGGAGGUGGAAGAGGAAGAUGCAGUGGCGACGAUUGUGAGGGCGCUGGAGCUAGGACACCUAAGCAUGCCAAUCAAGUUGGACUCCGGCGAGGAAGAAGAUAUGGUGGUGUAGGUCGAGGAGAAGACCAAGGCCAAGGCUACCCACCGCUCCAAUCGCCUCCAGGGUCCUGUGUACUAUGUAAGAUGAACCCUAAUCCCCAUUCCGAUUGUACUCAAUCCUGAUUGGGAACCUCAUAUCUACCCGUAGUCAUGACGAUGUUAUGACCACUCCUAUGGUGUUUACCCCGAUUCCCCAUUCUCCUAACAUGGAUCGAACCUAAACUCGGAUCAAAUGCAAAGUAGUACAUGAGGAGGGGGGAAAGUGCUUACCGCCAUUGCCGAAGUGCUGCUGUGGAUGCCGGUGAAGAGGCCGGAGUCGAUUUGCUGUUCCUCGAUCUGAUGCACGCCAUCGCCGCCGUCGGUGAGAGUAGGGAGAGUGGAAAGAGAGCGGUGAGAAAAGGUAAGGGUAAUGACUGUCGACGCUUCGGGAAACAACGCGGCUUCUCAAGGGUGGCUCCCCUUGUGCAACCCCUGCCGCCCACGUGCAUCGCAGAGGCCUGGCUCGCGAGAAACUACCAAUUCGAACGUGCCUCGCGAGACAUACCCAGACAUGCUUUAAAGUUCGUGACAUGCAGGCCCAACAAUGUAUGUUGACAACCAAUCAGUUUGUUUUCUUUCCACGGGCCUGGUUGGACCUUAUGCGGGCAACCAAACGCAUCCCCAAGUGUUGUUUAUUUGUCGGAAUUUUCUAAGGUACUGGGCAAACGACAUGUGUACUGAGUGCCCAUGAAAUUACACCAGGCAAACUGUAAAAUACUCAGCGUAAUUUUUUUCCUGUAGUUGUACAAUUGGCUGCGCUGCAGUUCCAAAUUUGAUAAAGUUACAAGGUUGGUGUACCAGAAAUUCAUUAUCUACCAAUCAUCAAUAUGUAUGCACAAAACAGUUGCCUGUCUGGGCCUUUGUAUCAACGUCCAUCCAUGUGUAACACGUUCAGCGGAACCGUCUACCAAACGUCUGACAGACACAGACACGUGCAUAUCCUCCAAACCGGGCAGGCUGGUUGCUUGCGCCCUCGUCGCUUUCUUGUCGAACUGGCUCCAUAUAUAGACUAAUGCACACCACAGUUCAAUUUCCAUUUUCGUUUCAGUCAUCGUACAUAUGACUGCAUUAUUCAGCUAACGUUUAAGCAUAGGGAUUUUUAUUUUCAUGUCCCGUCUUUCUUAGUUAUGAUUAGUUUUGCCCCGUUCAUUUAACAUUGCUCACUUUUUUCCCUUCUUUACUCAUCUACGCCUCGUAAAAGAUCAAACGGUGUGUUGACAUUGGGUUAGACCAGGGGCGGUCCUCAGAUUUUGGGGGCCCGGGGCUGGAUUAAAAGCCGGGGCCCUUAAUAUAGACAUAAUAACAAUAACACUGAAUAUACGUACCGGUGAAAUAUAAACACUUAAAUACGUCUAAUACUAAUAUGCAUAUCAAAUGUUUUAAAAAUAUUACCUCAAACAAUAAUUCUGACAUACCUUGAUGCAAAGGCCAUUAUGAUGGCGUCGAUGUUAAUAGCGUCCAAUAAUUUCUUCUCGAUGACAUAAUGUCACCAGACCAUAUAAACACUCUUGGUUCAUCGGUGACCUCACAUAGUUCUUCAAUCAAUAUUUCCAACUUCAGAGAGCUUCUUCCGACCAAUACGAUAGUCACAGGCAUAGUAAAUAGGAUGCAAUAAGCAAUGGAAAUAUCAGGAUAACAGCCAACUUCUAUUGACAUGCUGCAAAUCUCCAUUGCAGAUAUUACAGUCAUAUGGCAGAAUGAAUCCCACAAUUUUUAAUUUAGAAGUAAGAUCAUACUCCCUCCGUUCCUAAAUAUAAGACCUUUUAAAGAUUGCACUAUAAACUAUAUAGGAUGUACAUAGACAUAUUUUAGAAUAUAGAUUCACUCAUUUUGCUCCGUAUGUAGUCUCCUAGUUGAAUCCCUAAAAGGUCUUAUAUUUUAAAACGGAGGGAGUAUAUCUCAACAUCAUGAUACACAAUGCUGACAAAUAACAUUAAUUGUUGAACAAUAUCGAUGUACCGGCGAUGCAUCUACAGAAGCACAAUAAGAAUAUAUGAUAUACGUACCUCGGAUGGCUGAAUCAGCCAUGACGGAAAAUCAAAGCCGGAUUAUAGGACGCCCCGACGAAUUGAAAUCGACGGCGCGCAGCUGAUGAUCUAAAUUAGGAAAGAAAUUAGGUUUGGGAGAAAAGUAGAAAGGAGGGUCGAGCACGCAGUGGCGAACAGACGAUGCGUCGGCGGCCGCUAGGAAUCGCUGCGUCAAUGCGAGAUGGAAUAGGAAGGGAUCAAUCACUCCUAUUUUUUCGUGAAAAAACGGAAGGAACGGUUGCUGCCUUUGUGCCUCGCUGGACUGCUGGGUGCAUGUUUGCCUGCAUGCUACGUGAGGCCCAGUCAACCAACCCGAUAGGUCAUUUUUUUCUGAUCUGUAAAAACAUUAAAUAUGUUUGGACAAAGCCUAUGUACAUACGUGGGGAGGGCCCCCUAAACUUUGGGGGCCGGGGCGGCCGCCCCCCCCUGCCCCUCCCCUCGGCCGGCCCUGCGGUUAGACUACCAACAAUGAAAGUAACAUAGGUGGUAACAUAGAUAUCAUCUAAACAACAAAUGUGAUGUGGCAACUAAUUAAAGAAAAGUAAGAGAAAUUGAAUAACUUAGCAUGUUACUCAUAUUAGGAGUAACAUAGCGGAUACCAAGGCAAGAUGGGUGUAUAGGCUAAUAAAUAAAAGACUCAAUGUUACUACCCCUAUGUUACUAUCCACUAUGGAGGUAGUAACUUAGAUUAGUAACAUAUGUAUGUUACUCCCCAUUGGUCUUUCAGCGGCGUUCAGAGACUCCUUCAUAUUAUUAGACAUAAUUAUGUCUAGAGACACAACACACGAGGCUAUACGUAAAUCACCCUUAGAAUACCAGCGAGCUCUCGUUUAACCUACGGACCCGAUGGGCCAUGUUAAGACUGGUAUGAAUACCAGCAAGCUCGCUGACAAGGAUCCGACGACUCCAUUACCCCUCGCAUCGCUUAGAGAAAAAACCCGAUACAAGUCACCCCCUUGACUUGAUCUGGAAUUAUCUGCGAGAUGCCAUCUAUGCUCUCAUCUAUCAACAAUUUCAACACAUGUUCUGCCGGAGUUUUGGUGCUUGGAAACCAUGAGCAAACCGCUUGUCACUUCUCCCGUGAGAGAGCGUCACCGGCACAGAACACCUCCAAUGGUUUCGUGAUUGCCGAUGGCGGCUGCAGGAUUGGGGGAGGUAGGCUGCUCGGGCUGCGGGGGAUGCGAAUUGAGAGAGAGAGAGAGAGAGAGAGGGAGGGAGAGGGAGAGGAAGAGAGAGAGAGAGAGAUUUCGUCCCCCUUUUUAGGACAAAUGACCCAACCAUCCACUAGCCGGUCCCACAUGUCAGCAUUUCAUGUCAGUCCCAUGCGUCCACGCGUCAACACCGGACGAAGUAACGGUCAACAGUUUUGACCCGACGGUGAGGCAUUGUUUGGCCUUUUGCGAGACGGAGGCGAGUAGAGGAGGGAGAAAAGUGAGUAAUGUUAGACGGACGAGGCAAACUGAGCACAACUAAGUAACGAUGGACGAGGCAACUUACGUAAAACCAGCUACAAUUAUAAUAGCUUUCGAUGUACACCCGUGUGAUCACCAGCCAUCUAACAACCUUUGCCGACAGUUGUCCUUCAUCCACAAAGACAACAUCAUCCAAAUAAUUCACUUGCAAUCCAGGUUUCUCUAUCAUCUCUUUGGACAUUGUGAUAUUUACUAAUUCCCGAUCCAGAGGUCUCAUACGCCAUGGCGAUGUCAUGACCAGUCUAGGAGAAGAAGCACCUCGUAAACUAGAGCGGAACAGAACCUGGGUUUUCUAGGCAUGGCCUCUCGAUAAGAAGUUGAGAAGAUUAUGGCUGAUACAUGGUGAGAUAGGAUGAGGUGUCUACGCUGCCAUACGACAAAACCCUAGUAACAGGGGAUGCUUUAUCUGUGUUAUUUUUUAAUUAAAUCACAUGAAUAAUUGGCCGUGUGUAUGUAAUUCUAUAUUAAUAUAAUAGGACACAAAGAGGCAGGUCCAUAUCAUCUCGGCCAACAAAUCUAAGAUUUGAUGGUUCAUGUUGAGCACCAAGAGACGAAAACCGCUCGCGUCGCCUCCAGGGGGCGACACGGGCGCCCUAGCCGCCGUCGCCCUCGACCUCCCUCCUCCCCCGCUUCCCCGCCGUUGCCGGAGGAGGCCGGCGAGCGAAGCUCGCCCGGCGGACGACGGACGGCGGGCCUUCCUCCCUUCUUCACGAGGGGGUCCUUUGGCUGAGAUGCGACGGCGCCCCUGGGGGUACAACAUGGAGGCGGAGUUGGCGUGCUCGGGCGGCGUGGGAUCCCGGCGGCGCUGCGGGGGCUGGCGGCGGCGGAUCUGGGGUUCCCCACCCCAGAUCGGUUCUCCUCCGGGUGGUCGGGCUCAGGCGCCGUCCAGCGGCCCUAAGCGGUGGUGGACGCGCGCGUUGACUGUCCUCCUUCACAGAUGUGAUUGGAAACGACAGGAGGUGUUGGCGUGCUGCUAGAUCUGAACAAGGUGAUGGCGUCAUCCCCUUCAUCAGGGAUGACGACCAGGUGGUGGGUUCUUGUGGCGUCGCCGGUGGCGGCGGAUCUUGGGAUCCAGUUCCCGGGGACGUCGUGGGAUGUGGUGGCCCGUGCAGGAGAGAUGGGUUCUUCGAACAGAUCUGGGUCAAAGCUUGCUUUCGGCUAUUGCUAAGGUCGGCGAUGGCGGCGCUGUCUACAUCGUUCCCUUCCUGAAGGCAUCGCCGAGGAGAACUUCAGGGCCACUCUCUGCUACCUCCUGGGGUAACCCUAGAUCAGUAGAUCGGAUGACGGCGACGCUCUGGUGUCAUUUCCCCCUUGGGGGCGUCAUUCAUGGUGGUACACACGGGCUCGAGGGACCAUUGGUCGGCAUUUACGAUGGAGCAGCGUUCCUAGUGACACAUCGACGUUGUGGAGUCUCGGCGGCGAGGCGCGGCAAAGUCUCGGCAAUGAAUGCAUGAUGAUGAGCACGCGUAGGGAGGAGGCGUUGUCUGGCGCCGUGGGGGCAUCGAUGGCAGGCCUUGCAAGGUCGAUGCGUCAGUAAUUUUUCUGAAGAUGGAUUGAUGGAAGGCGGCGACGACGACCUAUGAGGGUGCGUCGGACCGUUUGUGCCCCUGACCCGGUAUGUGGCUCUGUCGGGGCCUCCGGCUUUAGAUGUUAGGCUAGGUGAGAGGUCUGGGUAUGUGGCUCACACUUUCUGCACCCCCUUCAUCAUUGUAUAUGAGUAGCGACAGAUGUUGCCAAGAGGACGGCUUCAGACAUACGCUUAACACUCUAGCUAAUUGACCACCAGUAGCACGGGAGAGGUGUUUUGGCUCCCGGGUAUAUGCACUCGGAUGAACAGUACUGCGAAAAAAGUUCUAAUUUUUUUUGUAGAUGAUUGUAUUAGUGUCGCAAAUAUGCAUGACAAUUUUCGUGCGAUAAGGAGCAACGGUGUUUCAUCAGCAAAAAAGACAAAUUUAGGAUGACAUUUUGGGGUAACUUUUGGUGUUCAAUUUGUUUUUCUUGCACAAACCAAAAUGUUUUAUCUUUUUGUCUCAAAAUUUACAAGUAGUAUUUGGAUGUGACAAAGCAUACAAACAAAUUUUGUCUCAUUUUUUUCCAUUUCAAACUUUUUUUUGGCCCCGAAAGCAUAUGCCGGGAGCCGAAUUGCAUUUCCGCCGGUAGCACUAGUUACAUACACACUAGACUCCGCGCAAUCCCAUGAAAUCUGUUUGGCGAUUAACAUACGGCUAAAUAUCAACAUGCAAAUAUUAUCUUACCAAAUGUACCAAAUGUGUAACUAGUAUCUUAAUUCUACUCCCUUCAUAAACUAAUAUAAAAACAUUUAAAAACAAUGCUUUAGUAAUCUAAACGCUUUUAUUUAAUUUACAAAAGGAGUGCUACCUAAUAUCAACAUGCAUUGCACCAACUCCCUUCAAGGUCUAAUGCGUUUUUAGGGUUGCCCUUGACUAUUGAUAAGAUUAAUAAUAUAUGAGAUCUAUGAUAAAGAGUCUUUUCACAUCCGAAUUUGACAAUAUACCUGUAACAUGCAAGUUAUAUAUAUAUAAUUGCUCUAACCCGUGGCCAAAGGAAAUCUUGCAAAAUGUAUCGGAUGAAGGGAGAACAUGAUAAUACCAGUCUAACAAAUAUAUCCUCUCCAAUCGCAAACAUUUAUCCCCUUGGAUCACAACCAUGCAUACCCCUUUUGAGUACUCCCUCCGUCCCAAAAUUAAUGUCGAGCAUGUAGUUCAUUGGGAAUUUUGCAAAAAAAAACCUCGUAUUUACAAAAUCGUCUCAAACAAGCACCUCCACCCCUAUCUUCUUCGUCCGUCCUCGCCCGUGCAUCGCGAGAGGCCGCGCCGUCGAACUGGAAGGGCUCCGCCGCCGUCGCCGCCAAUUACCUCCUCCAUCACCACAACCCAGAUCUGCGCCACCGGAUCUCUUCCCGCUGCAGUUACCUGUCGGCGUCGUUCUCGAGCUCCUGCCGGCGUCGGAACCUUCCGCCACUUCGUCCUCUGGCUCCCAUGCGUCAUCCUCGAGCUCCCGUGCAUCCUCCCCAAGCUCACGCGCAUCCUCGCUGGAAUCUCUACUGCUCCUUCUCCCUUGCAGCCGGUGUGCCUGCUUAUCCCCUGUCACCGGAGGAGCUCCUCUGCACGUACUUGUUGGAAUUAUGCCCUANNNNNNNNNNNNNNNNNNNNNNNNNNNNNNNNNNNNNNNNNNNNNNNNNNNNNNNNNNNNNNNNNNNNNNNNNNNNNNNNNNNNNNNNNNNNNNNNNNNNNNNNNNNNNNNNNNNNNNNNNNNNNNNNNNNNNNNNNNNNNNNNNNNNNNNNNNNNNNNNNNNNNNNNNNNNNNNNNNNNNNNNNNNNNNNNNNNNNNNNNNNNNNNNNNNNNNNNNNNNNNNNNNNNNNNNNNNNNNNNNNNNNNNNNNNNNNNNNNNNNNNNNNNNNNNNNNNNNNNNNNNNNNNNNNNNNNNNNNNNNNNNNNNNNNNNNNNNNNNNNNNNNNNNNNNNNNNNNNNNNNNNNNNNNNNNNNNNNNNNNNNNNNNNNNNNNNNNNNNNNNNNNNNNNNNNNNNNNNNNNNNNNNNNNNNNNNNNNNNNNNNNNNNNNNNNNNNNNNNNNNNNNNNNNNNNNNNNNNNNNNNNNNNNNNNNNNNNNNNNNNNNNNNNNNNNNNNNNNNNNNNNNNNNNNNNNNNNNNNNNNNNNNNNNNNNNNNNNNNNNNNNNNNNNNNNNNNNNNNNNNNNNNNNNNNNNNNNNNNNNNNNNNNNNNNNNNNNNNNNNNNNNNNNNNNNNNNNNNNNNNNNNNNNNNNNNNNNNNNNNNNNNNNNNNNNNNNNNNNNNNNNNNNNNNNNNNNNNNNNNNNNNNNNNNNNNNNNNNNNNNNNNNNNNNNNNNNNNNNNNNNNNNNNNNNNNNNNNNNNNNNNNNNNNNNNNNNNNNNNNNNNNNNNNNNNNNNNNNNNNNNNNNNNNNNNNNNNNNNNNNNNNNNNNNNNNNNNNNNNNNNNNNNNNNNNNNNNNNNNNNNNNNNNNNNNNNNNNNNNNNNNNNNNNNNNNNNNNNNNNNNNNNNNNNNNNNNNNNNNNNNNNNNNNNNNNNNNNNNNNNNNNNNNNNNNNNNNNNNNNNNNNNNNNNNNNNNNNNNNNNNNNNNNNNNNNNNNNNNNNNNNNNNNNNNNNNNNNNNNNNNNNNNNNNNNNNNNNNNNNNNNNNNNNNNNNNNNNNNNNNNNNNNNNNNNNNNNNNNNNNNNNNNNNNNNNNNNNNNNNNNNNNNNNNNNNNNNNNNNNNNNNNNNNNNNNNNNNNNNNNNNNNNNNNNNNNNNNNNNNNNNNNNNNNNNNNNNNNNNNNNNNNNNNNNNNNNNNNNNNNNNNNNNNNNNNNNNNNNNNNNNNNNNNNNNNNNNNNNNNNNNNNNNNNNNNNNNUGUUGGAAUUAUGCCCUAGAGGCAAUAAUAAAUGUGGUUAUUAUUAUAAUUCCUGUAUCAAGAUAAUAGUUUAUUAUCCAUGCUAUAAUUGUAUUGAAUGAAGACUCAUUUACAUGUGUGGAUACAUAGACAAAACACCGUCCCUAGCAUGCCUCUAGUUGGCUAGCCAGUUGGUCAAUGAUAGUCAGUGUCUUCUGAUUAUGAACAAGGUGUUGUUGCUUGAUAACUGGAUCACGUCAUUGGGAGAAUCACGUGAUGGACUAGACCCAAACUAAUAGACGUAGCAUGUUGAUCGUGUCAUUUUGUUGCUACUAUUUUCUGCGUGUCAAGUAUUUAUUCCUAUGACCAUGAGAUCAUAUAACUCACUGACACCGGAGGAAUGCUUUGUGUGUAUCAAACGUCGCAACGUAACUGGGUGACUAUAAAGAUGCUCUACAGGUAUCUCCGAAGGUGUUAGUUGAGUUAGUAUGGAUCAAGACUGGGAUUUGUCACUCCGUGUGACGGAGAGGUAUCUCGGGGCCCACUCGGUAAUACAACAUCACACACAAGCCUUGCAAGCAAUGUAACUUAGUGUAAGUUGCGGGAUCUUGUAUUACGGAACGAGUAAAGAGACUUGCCGGUAAACGAGAUUGAAAUAGGUAUGCGGAUGCUGACGAUCGAAUCUCGGGCAAGUAACAUACCGAAGGACAAAGGGAAUGACAUACGGGAUUAUACGAAUCCUUGGCACUGAGGUUCAAACGAUAAGAUCUUCGUAGAAUAUGUAGGAUCCAAUAUGGGCAUCCAGGUCCCGCUAUUGGAUAUUGACCGAGGAGUCUCUCACGUCAUGUCUACAUAGUUCUCGAACCCGCAGGGUCUGCACACUUAAGGUUCGACGUUGUUUUAUGCAUAUUUGAGUUAUAUGGUUGGUUACCGAAUGUUGUUCGGAGUCUCGGAUGAGAUCACGGACGUCACGAGGGUUUCCGGAAUGGUCCGGAAACGAAGAUUGAUAUAUAGGAUGACCUCAUUUGAUUACCGGAAGGUUUUCGGAGUUACUGGGAAUGUACCGGGAAUGACGAAUGGGUUCCGGGAGUUCACCGGGGGGGGCAACCCACCCCGGGGAAGCCCAUAGGCGUUGGGGGAGGCACACCAGCCCUUAGUGGGCUGGUGGGACAGCCCACAAGUGCUCUAUGCGCCAAGAGAAGAAAAAUCAAGAGGAAAAGGGAAAAAAAAGGAGGAGGUGGGAAAGGAGGAGGACUCCCUCCCACCAAACCUAGUCCAACUCGGUUUGGGGGGGGGAGAGUCCUCCCCCUUGGCUCGGCCGACCCCCUUGAGGGUCCUUGGACCCCAAGGCAAGGCCCCCUCCCUCCCACCUAUAUAUACGGAGGUUUUAGGGCUGAUUUGAGACGACUUUUCCACGGCAGCCCGACCACAUACCUCCACGGUUUUUCCUCUAGAUCGCGUUUCUGCGGAGCUCGGGCGGAGCCCUACUGAGACAAGGUCAUCAUCAACCUCCGGAGCACCGUCACGCUGCCGGAGAACUCUUCUACCUCUCUGUCUCUCUUGCUGGAUCAAGAAGGCCGAGAUCAUCGUCGAGAUGUACGUGUGCUGAACGCGGAGGUGCCGUCCGUUCGGUACUAGAUCGUGGGACUGAUCGCGGGAUUGUUCGCGGGGCGGAUAGAGGGACGUGAGGACGUUCCAAUACAUCAACCGCGUUCUCUAACGCUUCUGUUGUACGGUCUACAAGGGUACGUAGAUCACUCAUCCCCUCUCGUAGAUGGACAUCACCAUGAUAGGUCUUCGUGCGCGUAGGAAAAUUUUUGUUUCCCAUGCGACGUUCCCCAUCAGUACUGCUGCUGGUCAUCUGCCUGAGUUGUUGCUGCUCCUCUGCUGGAGUUGAUGCUCCUCUGCUCGAUCUACUCUGCCGCUGGUGAAGCUCUGCCCGUGGUACUGCUAUUCCUCUGCCCAUUUGCACCUGAAGAAGGUACUGAUGAAACUGUUUGUUGUUUACUGCUACCUAAAACUGCUGUUGUUUGAGAAACUGCAUUGCUUGAGAAACUUGUAAUGUUGUGGUAUCGAAAAUAAUUUUGUGCAAUACUUGUAAUGUUGUGGUAUCAAAAAUAAUUUUGUGGAGUAUCAGAAACAGAGAAGCCUGGUUCAAGGUUUUGCACUGGAAACAGAGCAGUCUGGUUCAAGGUUGUGCACUGGAAACAGAGCAAUCUGGUUCAAGGUUUUGCCUAGAUAAACCAGACCGGAUGAGAGACCAAAUACAUGGGCAAGUAGUCAAAAGAAACACAUAAUUUGCCUAGAAUCUUGUUGUCCUGUGAUGCAAGAAAAUUUCACCAUGUGUAUGUUGUGGAACGCUUACAGUUGCACAAAUCAGACAUAUCAGUAGGUUGGUUCAGGUGUUGGUUCUUGGCCUAUUAACAUAGAAAGCCCCUUUGUAACUACUAGGACAAUCAGCUUGUGUAAAGAUCAUAUUUAGAGACGAAUUGCAAGCAUUAACCUGAUCUUAACAUAUAUAAAUGGAUAUUAAGUUUUCCAUUUUAGGCGAAUACAGAUAGAGGUUUCAACUAGACCUAGUGAGAAAUGGUUCCAUGGUAGCAUUUCUUGUUUGGCUGUCGUAGCUCGAUUACAUAUUGUUUUUACGUGCGUAUAUAUUCUUGUUACAGUACCAUGGUGUACUCAUCUUUUGUCAUUGAUAGCAGGAGUAUGGAUUUGAACAUGAUACCUCAAGAGGAGGAUGAAGGUAUUAAUUUGAAUUGGAUCCCUCAAGAGGAAGAGGCUCAAGGGGGAGAGGAUGGAGGUAUGGAUUUGAACAUGAUGCCUCAAGAGGAAAAGGAUGAUGGUAUUAAUUUGAAUUGGAUCCCUCAAGACGAAGAGGAUCCAGGGGGAGAGGAUGGAGGUAUGGAUUUGAACAUGAUGCCUCAAGAGGAAGAGGAUGAAGGUAUUAAUUUGAAUUGGAUCCCUCAAGAGGAAGAGGCUCAAGAGGAAGAGGAUGAAGUUAUGAAUUGGAUACUUCAAGAAGAAGAAGAAGGUCAAGAAGGUGUACCAGGUAAACAGAAAAGAAAAGAAUUGUCAAAUAAGGAGAGGCAUGCUGUUUACUUUGCUCUGCUAGUAAUCGAGCUCAGAGAUGGAUCUGUUCAACCAAACGACAAGCUGCUAGUAUCAAUCUUGUUGAACAUACAUGUACGAUCUAUUGAGAGAAUCUGGUCGGAGCCAAAAAGCAGAUUGCCGCGGGCCAAGAAGUAGAUGUCUCCAACAAGAAGAAAGGAAGAGUUGGUCGAAAGAGAAAAGAGCUGGAUCUUGCAAGGACCUCAACAAUCCCAUUGAAUAGAAGAAGGACAAUUCGAUCUCUGGCACGGUCUCUCGGUGUGACCCGCUCAACCCUACAUCGGAGGUUCCAGUUAAAUGAGCUCAACCGCAUCACAAACACAGUCAAGACUUACCUCAAACCAGAGAACAAGAUUGCAAGAUUGAAGUUUUGUAUGUCCAUGCUCGAUGACAAUUGGAUCUCAACUUCCCAAGCUAUAUUCAAGCCAAUGACUAAUAUGGUCCAUAUAGAUGAAAAGUGGUUUGACAUGACAAGACUAAAGAACAACUACUAUGUACUUCCAGGAGAGCCUCCACCUGAGCGCACCGUGACAAACAUUAACAUCAUUGGGAAGGUAAUGUUUCUAACGGUUGUGGCCAGAUCUCGAUACAAUUAUGAUGGAGAGCUAACAUUUGACGGGAAGAUUGGUAUUUGGGCAUUCAUCAAAGAGUCUGAGGCAGUGCGAACGAGUCACAAUAGAGCAAGGGGAACGACAGUGCUGAAACCAGUGAAAGUAACGAGACCUGUGUGUAGAGAAUAUCUGAUCAAUAAGGUUAUACCAGCAAUUCAAGAUAAAUGGCCUGACGAUGAUGAGGGAGCAACAAUAUUCAUCCAACAAGAUAAUGCAAAGCCUCGCGUUCUUCCCAACGAUGAAGCUUUUCGAGAAGCUGUGGAAGAAACUGAUCUCGACAUUAAGUUGAUGCAACAACCUCCAAACAGCCCAGAUUUGAACUGUUUGGACCUCUGCUUCCACAAUUCUCUCCAGUCUCUAACCGAUUGUAGGUCACCUACAAACAUCCAGGAACUGAUACAGGGUGUGGAAGAGGAGUUUGAGAAUUAUGAUCCUCACAAGUUGUACAACAGCUUCAUCACAUUGCAAGCAGUUAUGUUUGAAAUUAUGAAAGAUCAAGGAGGAAACCAAUAUAAGUUGCCCCACUUACACAAGGAACGUCUUCAGAAUGACGGCAGAGAAAUAACAAGUGUAUAUUGUGACAGUCAGCUAGUUGCUGAUACUAGGGCCAUUCUAGAAGAAAUGCAAUAGGAAAAGGAAAGGAAGAAAAGAAGUAGUUGUAGAAAGGAAAAAAAGAAUUGAACUUAUCUGAAUUGUACUCCUUGUGUACUCCUUGUACUCCUUGUGUAUGUCUUGUGCAAUAGGAAAAUGCAAUUGGAAUCAUUUGAGAUCAAUGAUGAUACUGGUUAUCCAACAUUUCCAUCUUGUGUAUCGGAAUUCAUUUUAAUUGUUUGGACUAAUUUGUUUGAGUUUAUCUUGAGUUUAUCCAGCAUUUCCAUCUGUAUUGGAGAUCAAUGAUCUUGUGUAUUGGAAGGGUCAUGUACAUGGGGAUGUUGCCUCAAGUUUUAUUAAAUUUAUUGUUUCAGGUUUCAGUAUACAAAGAUUACUGGGGUAUUGUCUAUAGUUUGGAUAAACCAAAUAAAGUUCACAAAUCUUUAUUCCCUUUGUGCAUAAAGUUUACAAAUCCCAAGCAUAGAGUUGGGAUCAACAAAAAAAUUCUAAGCUUACAAAUCGUGAGUGCUUUCAUCUCAAAAAAAUUCUAAGCUUACAAAUCCAGAACUGGUAGCCUUCCUUAUCUCAAUUCUCUGGUACUGAUUUUUGCUCUCUUUUUUUACCUUCCUUCAACAAGUUGUUCCUUGAACUGCAGGUACUCAGGGACAGUCAACUCCUCGUCGUCUGAAUUCUCAAGUACAGUAGUACUAGUAGCUUGGUUCAGGUUGAUUCUCAAUGAUGCCCUGCACUUGACACUAAAGCCUCCAGCCUGCAGAUAUACAAACGAAAUACAGAUACAUGCAUCAGUCUGAACCUGAAGAAGAAGGAAUGCAACCUGUGAAAUGUGUGAAAUGCUCCUACCAACAGACAAUGGAUGGUUUUUUUGUUUUGAUUGGUCUUGCUCUCGGUUUGAAGAUGAAGUGGUGUUAUUUCGCUUACCGUUGAUGUUCAAGUGUAGGCUUUUGCCUGCCCAGCACCUCUUAACCAUGUCAUCUCCUUGCAGUGCGUCUGGUUCAGGCCGAGCUCCGGGAAGCGGCUGCGCAUCAGCGGCAGCAGCGUGUCCGACGUCCCCAGGUACAUGGACUGGAAGUUGGCCUCCUGUUUCUACACGAGCACCCUGAUGAAGAGGUCUUCGGGGAGAGCUGGGGCGACUUGUUGCCAUCUGGUGAGGACGUCCACGGCGCCCUGGUCGACGGACUUCGUGACGCUGAACAUUGUCACUGUCGGGGGACGGGAACGUGCUUCACCUGCCACGAGAGCACGACGCCGAAGCUCUCGCCGACGCCGUUUCCGACGCAGCCGGAGAAGACGGCGGCGGUAGGUGGAGAAAUCAUUGCUUUUUAUGAGGAAGGGGGAAGCUUGGGGAGGCAGGCGAGUCGCAACUGCGGCGGCGGAGCGGCGGGGGACCGGGGGAGCAGGGGAGUUGCGGCAGGCGGAGCUGCAGCGGGCGAGCGGCAGCUGCGGCGGGGGAGUAGGGCAGCUGCGGCGGCGAGGAGCAGGCAAGCUGUAGCGAGCGUAGAUGGGGCAUCUGUCGGAGGAGGAGGACGAGGAGCGCGGGUUUGGUCGGGAGAAGCUGUAGGGGCUUUUCGCAAAAUUACCGUCGCGACAUUAAUUUCGGGACGGAGGGAGUAGCAUCUAAUCCUUCCAAAUAACACAGAACAUACGUGUUGCACGACCCAAAUGGGGCCCGGUCAAUGACAUCAAUCCCAUAUGUCACUCUCUGCUCCUACUACCUCGCUGUCCAUUACUUCAUGGUAAAUCUGGGGACGAGGAGGACAUGGUCGUCUGUCUGGCUCUUCACCUCCCUCGGGAGCAGUGCACUCGACCACGGUUGGACUCUAACCGGUGGAAAUCCAUGGUGUCCGUUCAAAUGUCGUUUGGAUGCGCAGGGAUGAUUGCUCGAGGCGUGCGGGCGCGGCCUCGACGGACACAGUGAUCGCCGUCCAAUUCUAGUAUGAUGAUGCAACCCCUUUGGUGGUGCCUCAUCCCUACGCCCUCGGGCUCGGAGUCGAAGAUCUGCACCGGCAUGAGUUACGGUCCAUCUUCUAACAUGGAGUGGCAUACCCGUCGUGCAAGGCAAAGGCCGCGUGGCGAGACGUAGAUGCUCUAACCACAUCUAGAUGGGAUCACAUCGAUUUAUGAUAUCCCGACUUCCCGAUCAACGAGUCUCCUCUGAUCAAAACCAUGUUACCCUAAUAUGCAUGUAAAAAAGUUAGGCUAAUAUGCGCGUAAAAAAGUUGAUUAACUGCUGCUAAAAUGGUGUGAUGUGAUAAGCCGGCCCUCCCCAACAAGAAAUAAUAACAACUGCCCCCCUAUCUCUCAUAUCCAAUUUAUAUAUGAGCCGGAUAUAGCGAGGACUGGAUGCGUCCGUCAGGUUGUAUCCGGCUCACGCUGGUUCAUCCCGACCCAUAUAUAUCCGUCUCUAUCUCCAACCUGGACGAAACCCUAGCUACUCCACCCCUCUUCUUAGCUCCGUUCCGAUGAUCUCCAGCCAUCUCCGACAUUACAGGCAGCGUCCGACACGGAGUUGGGAUCUCGCCCCAUGCGGGGAUGAGGAGGACAUGGCCGUCCGGCCGGCACUUCGCCGCCCCCGGAAGGAGUGCGCUCGACCACGGUUGGACUCUAUCCGGCAAAAACCCAUGGUGUCCGUUCAAAUCUCGCUUGGAUCCGCAGGGAUGAUGGCUCGAGGCGUCCGGGCGCGGCCUUGCCGGACGCGGUGACCACCAUAAUAUUCUAACUCCGGGAUGGCGAUGCAACCCCUCCGGUUGCGCAUCAUCCCUAACAUGGAGCGGCGUACGCCGUCGUGCGAGGCAUAGGACGCGGGGGCGAGGUGUAGAUGCUCUAACCGCAUCUGGAUGAGAUCACAUCGAUUGAUGAUGUCCGGAUAAACGAGUCUCCUCAGAUCAAAACCGUGUAAUAAUCCUACAAAAUAAAGACAUCGCCCAACGUGUUCCAGAACGCUCUGAAUGAGACCCCGCGAAUGGCAACAACCAUACCAUUUAUGAGCAAGUUUUGUCAGUCCCCCCACCCGGCCAGCCCGUGACAUCGAUGUAGCAGCUUCCGUUCCUAUUUAACCAGCGUACCAUUUGCACUACAUUGCAUCACAGCAAGCACACACACACACACACUCUCUAGAGAAAUGGCGAUGGCUAGGACGACGGCGCUCCUCCUCGUCGCCGCGGCUCUCCUGGCGGCCUCAUCCAGCGCAUGGGAGGUGAACAUCCAGAUGCCGGCGUCGGCGGCCGUGGACGAUGCUGUGGCACCGCUCAUCCACGCGCUGCGGCCGCUCCUGGGCUCCGGCAAGCAAGCCGGCGUGGCGUGCGAUAGCUGGCGGCUGGGCGUGGAGGCGCACAACGUGCGGGACUGGAAGACGGUGCCCGCCAGCUGCGAGGAUUACGUCGGCCACUACAUGGUCGGCGACCACUACCGCCGGGACUCCAAGGUCGUCAUCGACCAGGCCAUCGCCUACGUCGACUCCCUCAAGCUCGCCGGCAACGGCAAGGAGGUCUGGGUCUUCGACGUCGACGAGACCACCCUCUCCAACCUCCCCUACUACGCCAAGCACGGCUUCGGGUACGUACUAAGUACUCGACUUGUAUAUACAUACACAUUAUGCUAUGCAUGCUUGACUAAUUAUUGCAGGUGCGUUUGAGCAGGGACUACUUGCACUAAUCUUUCGUCCACACAAAGUAACUGAUCAAGUGCAAAUCUGACUAGACCUGGUUGCUAAAAUGAGCUCACCGACCCGGCCAGCUAAAAAGAAGCACCAGCUAAAAAGCAUAGUAACACAUUGAAACCAUAAAGACAAAUCUCUAUCUAAUAAUUAAUAAAUGGGAGAAAACUAAUGAAACUACAAGUGCAAACAGAAAGGCAUAUAUAUGUUGGGCAUCAUAUGCGAAACAUUUCUUGGCACUGGAGUCUGGUCGAAGCUAUUCCUUUGCGAAGCUUUUCACACGUGUGUAAUACCUAAUCAUGUUUGAUCCCGAAAAGUUUCAGAUUAUUUUUUACUCUUUUUGAAUUUUCUAAAAAAAUAAUCAAUUCGGGUGCAAUGGGACCUGAGACCCAUUGGCUAUUUCUGCAAAAUGCUUCUAUCUUCUUGAUGUGACACUAUAAAUUAAUAAAAACAUCUUUUGUUGAGAGAGAAAAAGCAUGUGAAAACUAGCUGCCAUGGUUGAGUCUGUCAUUAAUCUAUCUGCAUAUGCACACACGCGCGCGCAGGGCUACACCGUUCAACUCAACAAGCUUCAGGGCGUACGCACGGGAGGGAAGCGCGCCGGCGCUCCCGGAGACGAAGCGGCUGUACAACAAGCUUCUCUCGGUCGGCAUCAAGCCGGUGAUCCUCACCGGACGGAGGGAGAACCUGAGGGCCUCCACCACCACCAACCUCCGCAGCCAAGGCUACUCCAGGUGGAUGAAACUGCUUCUGAAGCAGCAAGACUUCAGGGGUUCCUCAGUGACCUUCAAGUCCGGCGAGAGGCAGAAGCUGCAGGAUGCCGGUUACAUCAUUGUGGGCAACAUCGGUGACCAGUGGAGCGACAUCCUUGGUGCUCCCGAGGGCGCCCGCACCUUUAAGCUUCCCGACCCCAUGUACUACAUCGGCUAGUUUCAUCGCUCGUCAUCCAUGAAUAAGCUCCAUGCUCUUUAAUAAUUGUAUGCAUGCUUUGUCUGUAAUCCUUCCCCUGUUGUUGCUUGGUCAUUUUCCUUUGUUGAGAACUUGAGAUCAAUUACUUGUAUUAAUAAAUGUGUCCCACGGAAGGUGCAUGUUGUUUAAUCAAUGGAUC